GUUUUUUUUUGUUUUCUACUACGUUUCCUAACAUCAUGACACAACUAUUUGGAGGGCAAAUCCUAACACUCAGAAUUAUGCUUUCUGGACUGCAAUUUUGAAGGUAAGGCCUCUUCUCAUUUCAGCAUCUAUUUAUCAAAUUGUAGAUGGCAAUAGUUCAUUGUGGACCACCCCUUGGUUUGAAGAUUGGGAAAACAUCUAUGAUAACCUCAUCAUACAACCCCAUCCUUUUAAUUACCCUGCUCAAAUUAUGGACCUCUGGAUUCUUGGGCGAAAAGUUUGGAAUGUUAAUCUAAUUAAUAUGUUAUUUUCUCCUACUAUAGCUGAUUCAAUAAUUCACACUCUGUUUGUCUGUACUGCUAGCCAAGACAUUGUUCUUUGGAAGCUAACUCCUACAUGUCUAUUCUCUUACAAAAGUGCAUACAAACAUGGCUUUGCCAAUCUUCAACUUCCUUCAAGACAGAGACCAAAAAUUGUACCACCACAGACUAUAGCAUUGCUCAACCAGGUAUGGAAAGAGAAACAUAUGGCUCCACGAGUCCAAACCUUUGCUUGGAGACUUUUUAGGAAUGCACUUGCUACAGGUAAAAGGGCAGGUACUUACUCUAAAUUUAUUAGUGAAAACUACACAACUUGUGGAAAUACUGAAGAUGAAAUGCAUUUUUUUCUUAUGCCCUUUUGCAAAAGCAGCUUGGUAUGGUUUCCCAUGGUUUAUUAAAACUAUUUCAUAGCCCAACAUAAUAGUUCAGUAUCACAAAUGAUCCAAGCCCUUCUCACUUACAAUCAUCCACAAAUAAAUGUUGUCUCACUGUAUACCUUCCUGUGGUGUCUUUGGAAAUCUCAAAACGACAAUCGCUUUUGUAGGACUACAAGGCCUCCUUCCCAGGUAUUUGCAGCAUAAAUGGCGAUCAUGCAAGGAACCAAUCUGGUGGUCUCAACUCAGUCUCCGGACUAUAAAGUAGUCAACUCGACUGGAACUGACAAGGCAGUGCAUGAGGAGGCCCUUUUGCAAAGACGGGAUCACUUGAGAAUGCAAUUGAUGCCAUCUCCUGGGGAAACAACCAUGGACAUCUCAUCUUUUCACGUACCAUUGUUUAUAUAAAUGCAGACUGGAGUUCAGGACUUGAAGAUCAGCCAACCGUAGCAGGUUUAGGUGUAUUUAUACAGUUUGCAGGAAAUCAACAUUGUUCACAGUUGUGCAUCUCGGCCGUCGGUGAGACUACAAAGUAGUCUCGACUGGAACUGACAAAACAAUGCAUGAGGAGGCCCUUUUGCAAAGACUUGGUAAUGCAAUUGAUACCAUCUCCUAGGGAAACAAUCAUGGACAUCUCAUCUUUUUCAGGUGCCAUUGUUUAUACAGAUCAGCCAACUGUAGCAGGUUUAGGUACAUUUAUACAGUUUGUAGGAAAUCAACAGUGUUCAUAGAUGUUCAUCUCGGCCGUCUCCCCACCGACGACAUCAGCUAUCCAAGCCAAAGCAAGCCCAUUCUUGCUCCAGGUCAUUGGACAAUAAGGCCACAGCUUGCAUGCGUAACAGCUUCUUUAGCAUUUGAUGCUACAAGAAUUUAUCGUAUCAAUAGGAGCUACAACUUCCGAGCACACCAUCAAGCUAGAUUAGCAACCAAAAGUCAAAACUUUUCUUACAAGUUUAAAUGUUUAGGUUCGGGCAAUGUUUAAAUGUUUAAACUUUUCUUAUAACUUCCUUUGGUUCUGCAAUGUAAGGUUCUACAUGUGAAAUGCUGCUAAUCUAUGAAAUUAUUUGAGUUCAAAAAAAAAAGUAGCAAACAUUCAAUUUGAGUGUGGCUAGAUCAUCGAUUGAGAUUUAACCGAAUCUCAGUCAAGUAACAUACUCCCUCUGUCCCACACGGACGUUUGGUCUACGAAGACAUAUGUCCCCGGUAUCCAUAGCGUGCCCAGGGGCUUUGUCAUCUGGGCGUAAAGUAGUGAAUAAAGAAAUACGGACAGUCGCCUGGAGUGAUAAAGCGCGUUAUACAUUGCUGGGACAGUGCAAUACCGUCAGAAGUACAUGCUGAAACAGGAUCCAUUCUGUUGAAAAAUAAAUGCUGCUCAACUCACACACGCCCCUUCCUGUUCUUGGGUGACUACUGUCAGAGUCGCGUCUCUUCGUAAUUCUGGACGUUGCUAAGAUAAAACGAACUGUAAAGCUAGCUUCAAAUGUUUUCGUUAAUAAAGCUGGAAGUUGGCAGACUCAUUUAAUGAGAGUGUACUGCCUAGUACUAGGAAGAAGCGUCGGUUCCACGCUUUGAGUCAAAAAAUUCUGAAACUUUUCCAAAAAUAAAUUUGAUUUUUUCAGAAGUUAUGUAGAAAGUUUGCAGUAAUAAAAACUCCUGUACACUUGUGGUGAAAAAACAAAAUCAAUACUAUAUAGAAGUUACUAUUCACACUUUCUUUCCUCAAUUUUUUGUUUCUCUUCACCCAGAAAUCAAUGGAAGUUUUUCCUUCGUCAAACUUUUUGUACAACUACAAAAGAUGGUCAUGUUUAUUUUCAAAAAGUUUCAGAAUUUUUUACUUUUUGUGAUUACUAUUUUUUUUCAUAUCAGGUGCAUAUACACCCUAUAUAAAAAAUAGUAACUACCAAAAAGUCAAAAAUAAUAAUUUUGUUUUUGAAAUAAACUUGACCUUCUGUUGUACUCGUAUAAAAAGUUUGGGCAAGGAUGAACUUUCAUGGUAUUUUUUGUUGGGAAAAAAUAAUAUCAACAUUAUAUAAAAGUUACUAUUCACUCUUUUGUCUUUGAAAUAUUGUUGUUUUGCCCUCAAGUGGAUGUCAGUUUUUCCUUCUCAAAACUUUUUAUACAAGCAGAAAGAAGAUCAAGUUUAUUUCAAAAAAAGUUUUAGAAACUUUUGACUUUUUUCGUAAUUACGUUUUUCCUAUAUCAGGUAUAUAUAAAUCCGAGAAACAAAGGGUAUUUGCAAUGAAAAUUGUAAACUGACGUUCUACAUGAUUUAUUAAUCCGGAAUAAAAUAAACUAAGGUGAGUAGUUCGUCGCUAUGAAUAACAACUCGAUUUGAUCAACAUAAAAAAAAUGAACGUACAUGGAGCACGUUACCAUGAUUGGAGAACAAUGAAAAUAUUACAUAAUCCUUUGCUGAACGGUAAUAUUACCAUGAUCUGAAGAUAACUGGAAAUAAAAUAAGUAAAUUUAAGAUGAUAGGUUCAGUAAUGUUUAGUGUAGGAACAGUUGACUGUCCAGUACUGGAAAACAAGGAUUUUAGGUUCAGUAAUCUCCAAUAAAACACCGGAGUGCCGAAGUGUUAAUCUUCAAUUCUUGUCGCGGGCGCGAAGUGCAAAAUCUGAAGGCACAGCGAGUUGAAGCCAAAAGUGAAGGAUACAGGUAGAGAGUGUAAGACGAUUUGGCAGUUGGUAGAUGAGACACUGGUUUAAUGCGAUGCAGGCCCGAGUCAGAAGUACCGGACGGCAGCACACAAAUACGAAUUGAUAAAAUGUAGGAGUGACAGAAUAUAAGAGGGAAAGUCAGAAUACGGACGAAAUCACUGUUCUGAUUUUGUCAGAGUUUAUUCUCACAAACUGAACCCGACGUGAAAGUAUUUCACGAUUUGACCUUUUUAGAAACGCCAGGGACCGCGGCGUUUUCACCCAACACAGAAACGCCGAGCAAGUUAGCGUUCCUGACCUGGCCCACUGCCAGGCCGAGGACGUGUUGCUUGCUCACAUGGCGUGAUGGAAACGCCGAGCAAGCUAGCGUUGCUAGAAACGCCGCCGUCCUUGGCGUUUCUGGUGCAGAUAUUUUAGGUGGUCGUGAGGCUUUCACCCACCACUCACCUUUCACUCUCUUCUCCCUCAUUGGUCUAUCCCGAGCUCUUGCCCUUUUCCCCCUUUGUGUCCCUCACUUAGCCCUCUCAAAUCCUUGCAAAUCGAUUGGGUUGGUCCGUGGAUCCGGUGUCAUUUCCGUUCGUUGAGGUAACCUCCUUCAUCUCACAAAUUUUUAUUGGUUGGAUUUGUCCAUUUGGAUUGAUUUGUUCUUGUUGUUCCUAACCCUAGUUUUGAACAUGAAUCUAUAAUGUGAUGUUUUGAGUAUUGUUAUUCCAAUAGUGUUGCAUUGUGAUGUUGUUGAGCCUACCUUAUUGUGGGUUAUGGCUAAUGUUAAGAUUUAGGGUUAGGGUUAUGGCUAAUGUUAAGAUUUAGGGUUAGGGUUAGGGGUUUUAUUAGCAAUAUGGUAUAUUUAGCAUUGUACAUUUCUUAUACUUAUGUUACCAUUUUUUAAGAUGGACAAGAUUGUGAAUAUUCAUUAUGUUGACAAAGAGGCAUUCAUGAAUGUGGAAAUUGUUGACAAGUAUGAGGAAGUGUUAAUAUUUCUUGAGACUCCUAUCUAUGAAGAGGUUGUGGAAGAAACACGGAUAAGAUUAAAGUGGGUGGAUGCAAGUGACCAAGUUGAAUUAGUAGGAAGAUAUGAUGUUGGGUCGGCACACAAGUGUCGAAUGAAGACAAUGCCUAUCAAGUCCUACUUGCAUUGGGUUGCAUAUAAGGAGGUUGUUGCAUCCUCGACAGUCAAGUCACUCGAAGUCUUUGCAUGUAAGGUGGUCAAGGCUCCUCUCUUUCAUGUUGACUUGAACCAAACCUUAGUAGAUGAUGUGAGCCCGGUUAGUAGUGUGCCACCUAUUGUUGAGCAUAAAGUUGAAGUGUAAGCCAAUGAGUAUCCCCAAUAUGAGUUCGAAGGUAGUGCACCGUUGAAAUAUGAUGGCGAUGACUCCGAAGAAGAGUAUGAGAGACACCAUAACAUUGUUGGUGACGUAGAGGCUGAAGUAAGGCAUCAGGACAUGGAUCCUGACAUUAUCUAUCAGCAUGCUUGUGUGGAUGACUCGGAUGAUGAAGGCCCGGUGAAUGAGUUGGACGAGGAUGGCUUGACUGAGAAAGAAGCAGAGUGGUACACAAAAAUUACCGGUAGGGAUCACAAAGUUCCCUUGUUUUGUGAUGUUAGCCUUGCAGAUAAGGCUAUAGUCGACGGUGGCAUGAGCAAGACAAUUGAGGCUAGACAGUUCCCAAGUAGUACACCCGACGCGAUUUCAAUGUCGUACAUGAGGAAAGGUUUGAUGUUUGAGCACAUGCUAGAAUUCAGGAUGUGGUUGUGUGAGUAUGCUGUCAAACACCACAGGCCUUUCAUACUUGUUCACUCGGACUGCAACAAGCGAUGCACCAUGAAAUGUGAGGUAAAAAGAUGCAAAUGUAAAGUCAAUGGAAGACUCACGAAAGAUGGUUGGUGGAAGAUAACUAGUUGCAAAGCCAUCCACCAAUGCACACCGCCGGCCGUAGAAGCACGGAAGACACACCGUCAACUAACCUCGGAAUUCAUUGGUUAUAAAUACCAGAAACAUAUAGCCGAGGAUCCAACCAUUAAAGUGCAGUUGUUGAUGAGUUGGAUUGAAGAUAAGUUCGGAUAUAAGGUCAAGUACGGGAAGACAUGGAAGACCAAGCAAGUCGCUCUCAGAAUGUUGUACGGUGGAUGGGAAGAGGCUUACAACAUGCUACCUAGGUUGCUGGGAGCGAUGUCGUAUAGAAACCCAGGAAUGUACCACUAUGUCCAAGAUAUUGAAGGAGUGUUCCGUCGUGCCUUUUGGACAUUUGGCCCAUGCAUUGCAGCUUUUGAGCAUUGUGGCCGGUUCUGUCUAUAGAUGGGACAUUCUUGACAGGGAAAUAUAAGGACACACUCAUGAUAGCAAUGGCACAUGAUGCUAACGAUCAGGUGUUACCUGUGGCAUUUGCUUUGGUCUCCGUGGAGAACCAAGACAACUGGGAAUGGUUCAUGAGACUUGUUAGGAGCACGGUCAUUCCUCCGAAUAGGGAGGUAUGCAUCAUAUCCGAUCGGCACCAAGGCAUAUUGAAGGCCGUGGAUAUUCAUAUUCCAGGGCAUGCGAGGCUUCACCACCGAUGGUGUAUGAGGCACUUCGUUGCAAACUUCUACAAGGCUUGUAAGAACAAGGAUCUUUGCAAGGAUCUUAACUCCGCAUGUGUGCCUUCUCCGUUAAGUCAUUCACGACCCGCUUGAACAAAAUCUAUGAGAAGGCAAACAAAGAUGGGAAAGAUUUCUUAGAAAAGAAUAUUGAUGAAAGACACAAGUGGUCAUGGGCAUGUGACGAAGGAGGCAUGAGAUAUGGUGACAUGACAAGCAAUCUUGUUGAGUGCUUCAACUUUGUCUUGAAGGGUGCCCGUCAGUUGCCGGUGACGGCAAUAGCGGAAUAUACCUUUUACAAGCUAAAUGAGUAUUUUUUUAAGCACUUCGAUGAAAUCGACAAGUUGAUUGCUGAUAGUGAGAAGCCUCCCAAUGAAAUUUAUCCGAAGAAGGUUGCCGAGUGGCUGGAGUUUCAGAGAGACAAGUCAGCCAUCUAGCGAGUCACUUGUUUCGAUAAUGUUCAAAUGAAAUACCAAGUGGAUGAGCCAGGUGAGACAACUAGAGAUGGACAAUCAUAUGAUGGUCGCUCAUUUAAGGUGGCUCUUAGGACAAGACAUUGCACUUGUGAGCGACCUAGUAAGUAUCACUGGCCAUGCUCACACAUGAUGUCGGCGGCCCGCAUCAGGAAUGUGGAUAUCUCUGAUGGAGUAGUUGUGAGGCUGCCUGGAACUUCUCCAAGAAACGUUGUGGUGUACGCUGGCAACGCCAAGGUCCCUGGCGUUUCCACCCUAAGGCCUCCUUUGGUUUGGAGGAAUUUUGUAGGAUUUUCAUAGGAUAGGAUUUUUAUAGGAAAAAUUCAUUUAGAGCUCUUUGGUUUGUAGGAAUGAAAUCCUAUUUCUAUGAAGGAAUUCUUCCUAUCCUCCACAUUUCAUAGGAAAAUAAACAUUAGCCUAGACUCAAUGGAAAAAAUCCUAUGGUUCAAUCAAAGGGCAUCUCAUUUUCUAUUCCUAUGCAUAGGAUUUGAGAUGCAUGUCAUCUCAUUUCCUAUGACUUUCCUAUUCCUAUGAUUUUUCAAUCCUAUGGAUCAAAGGAGGCCUAAAAUGAAACGCUUGCGUGGCUUGGCGUUUCUUUAAGACAGAGGCUGGCUGGGACACGUACAUGAAACGUUGCCGCUCACACCUGAAACGCCAACCACCCCCGGCGUUUCCAGGCCACAUAUAAACGCCAAAGUCCUUGGCGUUUCUGCCCUGUUAUGCAGAUCAUAGCAAACCCUGCUGCCCAUUCCAUCACAGGUAGCAAAGGUACAGCAACAGUUUUCACAAUAUAAUGCCAAGUACAGCAACAGUAUAGCAAUGAGACAUAUUUUCGUCAACGAACUUAACAUGAUCCAGCUUACAUAAUAAUUACCAAGUCUUGCUGACAUAGAACUAUCAAGUCCAUCAGACAUAAAACAUAACAAGUUCAUUAGAUAUAGAACUAGCAAGUUUGCUCCAUCUGAAACGCUAACUACAUUUCUAGUUCACCACAUAUAGAACUUCACUUCUUGCCUCUUUUUGCAGCCAUCUUCCCCUUGUUGACGUAGCCUUCUGGAGUGUUCUGCCAUCCAGGACGUCGGAUGGUUCUUGAGCUAACUCGGUGUGCUUCCUCGGAAGGCUGAGAACGUUGAGUUGGUGGUGGAGCAUCUUCCAUCUGCGAAGCCCCAAGCUCCACAUAGUCCGGAUCCGCAUCGUAGUCUGUCUCCUCCUCUUCAUCUUCCUGUUCAUCAAUCCGUGCUUGGCUCGAAGAAGCACCUGCUCGGCUGGAAGAUGGACGAGCGAAAGAAGCACAUGCUUGGCUCGAAGAUGGACGAGCGGAAGACAGCACAUCCAUUCUAUAUUGAGCACAUGCACGCACAUCCGUGGAUGAACCGCCAUGGCAAAAAAGUAAAGAGGCUAGUGUUCGGCAACGAUUCACAACCUUCUGCAGAGGCAAAGACAUUGACAUGUAAAUAUGCAAAAAUAGUUCACAUGACACAUGUUCAUAUUAAGAGGAUCUCUAACCUGUAGAGUACUCCUAACGAGAACGUUCGUUUCUCUACCAGGUGCGCGGCCAAGCACCACAUUACUAUCAUUGAUACAUCUCCAUAGCUCCGUGCCCUGAAUAAAACUUAAGUGACACACCACUCAUGAAGAAAUAACACAUGUUCAAAAAAGAGACAAAAAGACAUACCACUCGGUCAUGCAGAGGGCCAUAAUCUAAGUGUGCUCCAAUGGUCUCCCUAAUAGAGUUGUUGAAUGCACCAUCAGCAGCCUCACUUGGCAUUACUUACAAGCAAUCGGCAUGAAUCCAAGCACCCUUAAGGAUAACUCUGUACUAUUUGCGAAGCCACUCCAAAUGCCUUAAAUAUGCCCCCUCGUCGUUGUCAGGUGUGUGAUCAUCUUCAACUCAAGCAUUCCUCUGAGCAUUCCACAUGUCCACCCACAUAAGAUGGUGAUCCUCCCAAUUAAUGACAUUCUUUUGUGUUGUCGGCUCGUCCUACAAACAUGAGAAGUAUCAGCAUCAUUUUCAUUUUUUCGUGGUUACACAUUGAUCAACAUAUGGUACAAGAAACUCUCACCUAUGUAGCACCACACUUGUCUCAACAUACUCCGGCGGGGUGCGUUGUUGUACUCCAAAUUGCUUCGAAACAUGAUGUGGAAGAUGCCACUCCACCGCAAAAAAAGCAUAUCAUGGGGCAACACAUACACCAAAGAUGUUGGUCACGAAGACACAUAUUGCUCAAAGAGAAUUGUCUAAGUACCAUGUACGACCUUCAAUUAACCUACAUCACAACAUGUCACUAGCUCAUGCACAACAACAAAAAUCUGUAAUGAUGGCAAGGGAUUUGAUAAUUACCUCAUUGUAAGUAAGCAUGUCAAGCUCGCUUAUGUAUGCCUUGUACCGCCCCAUGACGGCGAUACUGGACACUUGGACAUUAGCCCACGUGUAUGCGAUAGUGGGAUAUCUAUCGCUCCUCAUCCCCGUCAAAAGGCCACUCCCAAGGUUCUUCCGGAGCAAUGGUGAAGUUACGGCCCACAGGGAUACGCUCCCACAUCCAAAUCUGUAGGGCCCAAACAAAACCACCAAGACAAGAUUUCGGCUUACUCCUCAUACAUGCUCUGUCCAACUGCACAUUUGUACACACAUUAAACAAUCACAUGCAAAAAUCUCUUUCAUAUAAUGAGAAUGCAUCAAAUUAUCAUUACCUGACGGUACAAGAAGGCUAGUGUAAGUGCACCUAGUGCCACCCCUAGUUGGUUUUGGAGUAUUGAUGACAAACCUAGUUGAGGGACUAAUGUGUUUGUGAGAAUUGCAGGAUAACACAGGUAGAAGUCCCUCAUUGAUUCGGUUUUCCUACCAGAGAUGCCCCUAAAAAUAUAUGAAGACGUUGAAGUCAAAGGUGGUAUAUGAAGAUAUUCACAUUGAAGACUAUGACAAGAGAAGACACCACAUGAAGCCUAUGGAGCUCGAAGACUUAGAUCUUUCGUAGUUCUUUUUCUUUUGUGUUGAGUCAUAGGAACCACCGUACUGUUAAGUGGGGUCCAAGAGAACCAGUCAGACUGACUGAAGUGAUGCCUAAACAAAACCUAUGUCUUCGAGUGAAGACUAUGAGAGCGAAUCUUGUUCAGAGUCGGACAAGUCAGCUUUGCUUGUAGCCCAAGUAAAGUUGCCGUGUGAGUUUGAAAUCUGACCGUUGGAACACGUGUCAGUUCCUUAGUGACCCAGGGUCAUUUCGGACAAAUCAGGUCGGGUUGCCAAGUGGCUAUAAAUAGCCCACCCCCUACAACCAUAAACAGUGGGAUGCUCAGAUUGAGAGUACGGCUUUUGUCGUUUGAGAGCAACCCACCUCGAAGCCUUUGAAAGAGAAUUCCUUGCGAGGAUAAAGCCCUAACCACCCAGAGCGAGAGAGAAUUGGGCAUCACUUAAGUCUUCUUGUCUGUGUGAUCUGAAGACUUAUUACACUUGAGGAAUGUGCAUCCUCCAGCCGUUAGGCGUCGCGUUCUGAGCAUCCAAGAGACAUUGUGGAUUGCCGGUGAACGAAGUCUGUGAAGGUUUGGGAGUCUACCUUGAAGACUUACCAGAGUGAUUGGGCGAGGUCUGUGUGACCUUAGCUCAAGGGGAAUACGGUGAGGACUGGGUGUCCUGAGCUGCGUGUUCAGGACUGGGUGUCCGAGACUGUGUGUCCUAAGGUUUAAAUACCUAGCCGCCCCAACCAGACGUACAAUUGUCACAGCAACUGGAACUGGUCCAACAAAUCAUUGUCUUCAACAAGUCACUGGUUUCAUCUUCCCUUCCCUUUACUUACUGUUGCUCCUUGUGAAGUCAUUGUAUGUUUGCACUAUCUUUUGUCUUCACUGAGUGACUGCAUGUUCUGUAUGGCUUCACAAUAUCUUCCUACCUGAUCCUUACUACAUUGCUGCUAUUAAGUCAUUGUGCUUUCACUUCAUUGAAUACUUGACUAUGGCUUGCCUAGUGUAGUCUACCUUCCGCUGCAUGGUAAUAGGUUUAUUUCUAUCGUUUGUCUUCAUAACUUCCAUGUUUUGAAGACUUUCAUAAAAAUCGCCUAUUCACCCCCCUCUAGUCGAUAUAACGCACUUUCAAUUGGUAUCAGAGCAAGGUGCUCCUUUGUUCUAUGUGAUUCGGUUUAACCACCUAGAGUUUUAGCUAUGUCGACUACAGGGAUAAUUAAAGUCUCCGCUGUGUGCCCCGUCUUCGAUGGAACUGAAUAUCCCUACUGGAAGAAUAAGAUGCGCAUGCAUCUUGAAGCCAUUGAUGUCGACCUAUGGUAUGUCGUCGAAAACGGCGUUCCCAAGGAUGGAGAAGGUGUCACUGCUGCUGACGUCAAGAAAUUUGUUCAACUGGACUCUACUGCCAAGAAUAUCAUCUGUGGUCACCUGACCAAAGGACAGUAUGGCCGUGUGAGUGCUUUGAAAACAUCUAAGCUGGUCUUGGACUGGCUCUCCAAGGUCAAUGAAGGCAUCUCAACCCAGAGAGAUCAGAGAAUCAGUGUCCUUCGCAACCUCUUCAACCGUUUCAAGCGAAAUGACAAUGGGAAUGUCCAGCACACUUUUGACCGACUCACUGACAUCACAAAUGAGCUUCAAGCCCUCGGCGCUACUGAGAUCACCAAACAUGAAGUCGUCAAGACACUACUGAUAUCACUUGAUAGUUCGUUUGACAUCCUAGCCCUCAUGAUUCAAGAAUGUCCUGAUUUCAAGACACUCGAUCCAUCUGACAUACUUGAGAGGCUCAACACACAUGAGUUUCAGCUUUCUGAAAAAAGAGAUAUCUACGGUCCAAACUAUGGGCGAACUCGUGCCUUGAAGGCAAAAGCUGUCUCCUCAUCUGAAGAAGAAUCUGACAGCAGUUCUGAUGAUCCUGAAGACAUUGGAAGAGAACUUGCUAUGCUUGUGAAGAAGUUCCAAAAAUUCACCAAGAAGAAAGGCUUCAGAAAGUCUUCCCAAUCAAGCUCAAGGAAUGAUGAAGCUUCUGCUCACGACUACAAGAAGAAAACAUGUCACAAGUGCAAGAAACCUGGCCACUUCAUCUCUGAGUGUCCAUAGUGGGACAAUGAGAACAAAAAGAAGAAGAAGAGCAAGGAAUAUGACUCUGACGACAAGAAGAAGAAGAAAUACUCAAAGUCUUCGUCCAAGUCUUCCUCAAAGUCUUCAUCACACAAGAAGAGCUCAUCUGGCAAGGCAUGUGCGUUUGUUGGCAAGGAAAUGGACUUAGAGGAGCAGUCCGCUUCUGAGGAGGCGGAUGUGAAGUCUGAGGAGGAGUCCGAUUUAGGCGUCGCAAGUCUGGCUACAGCAUACGUUGCCAAGUCCAUCUUCAAUACUGAAGACAAUGACCUCGUCACCGACACCGAUGCAAUUGACAAGGACUACUCCGCUUCUACCUACUGCUUCAUGGCACGCAGUGCCAAGGUAAACACACGCACUACUCACUAUCAAACAUCUAGUGACGAUGACUCUGAUUGUGAUUCAAAACCCAGCUACAAAACACUUGCUAAAAUUGCAACUGAACAAUAGAAAGCUAUGGAACAUAUUCAAAAACUGUUAGACAGAAGCGAUGAUCUGUUAGGUGCUGAAAUGACUCGAUCUGAAUCCUUAAUUGAAGACAUAAAAAAUCUUCACGUUAAGUAUCAGGAACUUGAAAGUCGUCAUGAAACUCUCUCAACAACUCAUGAAAAGCUUUCCUAUGAUUAUCUUCAAAGGAAGCAAGAUCUUGAGAAAUUGAGAGCGGUUCAUGAAGAUCUUCAAAAGGAAAACGAGUCACUUCACUCCAAACAGACCAGUCCCGCUCAGGAAGGAUUUGAACCACCAUGUCUUAAAUGCAUUGAGCGUGAUAAUGCUACUUCUGUUGCUGAAUGUUCUACUGCUACUACUGUUGCAAUAUCUUCAACUGUUGAUGUGGUAACUAACCCCUCUGCUGAGGAUACCUCUGCUAUUGCUGAUGAGAAUGCUAGGUUGAAGACAUUGCUUGAAAUAGGGUUGUACAAAAGUCUUAAAGGGCAUCAGACACUAUGUGAUGUCCUCAAAAAGCAGAUUCUGAACCGAAACCUGAGGAAAGAGGGUGUUGGGUUCGUAAGGAAAAUGAAUGCUAAUGGCUCUUACUGGAAACCUGAGUAGUACCCCAAAACCAUGUGGGUUGCUGCAAAGGAACCUUCAGCAGACCCAUCCAAUCUAUCUGGCUUCACCUGUGCUAACCCUAUUAUCAUUGAUGAAUCCUUUGAUGCAAACUAUAUACUGUUUAAGAAUCAGAAUGGUGAAGUGUUUGCCAGGUACAUUGGUACUAACUGCAGGAAUGGACCGCCUAUGAAGAAGAUUUGGGCUCUGAAAAGGUGUCUGGAGAAUCUUCCUGUGAAUGUCAUCAUGACACCUCACGUGAAGAAGACAAACCUCACACCAAAGGCUUCAUACGGUCCAAAGGCUUCAUACAGACAGAGGACUCACCUAAGUCGCACUAACGCAAAUGUUUUGCAGGGAAACCAUACUCAGGCAUAUGAAUAUGAGAGCGGUUCAUCAAACUGCCAUGUUCAUAAGACCAAGAACUAUUCUGUUUAUUCUUAUGAGUACUAUUGUCUGCCUGCAAGACUGUUUGCUAGGGCUCCAAAGCCAAAAUUCUCAGAUGCUGCACUUAGACUUAUUGCUUCUCAGCCACCCUUGAAGAUGUGGGUGGCUAAGAAAGCUUAACUCUCUUUUGCAGGGAAAGGUCUCUAGCAGAAAACCAAAAUCGUCUGACACCAUUGCUGGGGACCUUAAACAUCUUGUAGGGCGCAAGAUCAAAUGCCCGAAUGGUCUUACUAUGUACUUCGUUCCUGAAUCGCUUGCUACUCUCCCUAUUAGUCCUAAUCUGGAUCUAAGCUUUCAUAACCCAUUGGUUCGUCAAAUGUUUUUGCUUCACAAUGCUCUUGGUGAAGCCUAUCCCCCUAACUGCACUGUAGGGUACGACACCAGCAUCUUCAGAAUGGAUUAUUGAUAGUGGGUGUACAAAUCACAUGACUGGCAAAAGAAGUCUUCUUAUGGACUCAACCUUACGUCCAUCCGACAAGAGCCACAUCACAUUUGCUGACACUGGUAAAAGUAAGGUAUUGGGUCUAGGUAGAGUUGCAAUCUCAAGGGAUCAACACAUGGACAAAGUCAUGUUUGUUGAAUCCCUUGGCUUCAACUUAAUGUCUGUCUCAAUGCUUUGCGAUUUGAACAUGAUCGUAAUAUUUGGAAAAUAGCGUUGCCUUGUACUAAUGGAAUCUGACAAGUCUCUAGUGUUUGAAGGGUAUCGAAAAGAUGAUCUAUACGUAGUAGAUUUCUCAGCAGGACCACAGCUUGCCCUAUGUCUUCUAGCAAAAGCUUCAGAAUGCUGGCUCUGGCAUCGGAGGCUUGGGCAUGCUGGCAUGAGGAACCUCCACACCCUUGCAAAGAAGAAGCAUGUCAUAGGCAUCGAGGGCGUCAAGUUCAAGGAAGACCACUUAUGCGGUGCCUGUGAAGCAGGGAAGAUGACGAGGGCCAAACAUCCUUCGAAGACAAUCAUGACCACUACUCGACCCUUCGAACUGCUUCACAUGGAUCUUUUCGGUCCCACUCAUUACUCAACACUUACUACUACUGCAUGCCUCUAUGGCUUUGUUAUUGUUGAUGAUUACUCUAAUACACUUGGGUGCACAUAAUCCUUUACAAGACUGAAGUGCAGGAUGUCUUCAGACGCUUCGCCAAUCGAGCUAUGACCAAUUAUGGCGCCAAGAUAAAGCACAUCAGAAGUGACAAUGGCACUAAAUUCCAGAACACUGGCCUUGAUACAUAUCUUGAUACCUUGGGCAUCACACAUGAAUUCUCAGCCCCAUACACGCCACAACAGAAUGGCGUCGUCAAACGCAAGAACAGAACACUCAUUGAGAUGGCCAGAACGAUGCUAGAUGAAUACAAGACCCCAAGAAAAUUUUGGCCUGAAGCCAUUGAUACUGCAUGCCAUACAAUCAAUCGUGUUUAUCUUCACAAGCUUCUGAACAAGACAUCUUAUGAGCUCCUUACUGGCAAGAAGCCAAAUGUCAGUUACUUCAAAAUAUUUGGCGCAAGGGGCUGGAUCAAGGACCCACAUCACACCUCAAAGUUUGCACCAAAAGCACAUGAGGGUUUUAUGCUUGGAUAUGGAAAGGAUUCGCACUCCUAUAGAGUCUUCAAUCUCUUUCAUUACAAAGUGGUUGAAACAGUGGAUGUGCGGUUCGAUGAGACCAAUGGUUCACAAAGAGAGCAACUGCCAACUGUGCUAGAUGAAAUUCCAUCCAGUGAAUCAAUCAAGCUAAUGGGAACUGGAGAAAUUAUACCUUCUAAAGCUCAUCCUGAAGAAGAACUUAUCAUCUCAGCACCUGAUCAACAUGAAGACAAUGCACAGCCUGAAGACAUUCCUUCUAACAAUGACAAUGAUCAGCAAGAGCAAAGUCUUCGCCCUGUACAUCCUCGCGUUGCCAAUGAAGUGCAGAUUGAAAGAAUAAUUGAUAGCAUCAAUGCACCCGGUCCACUCACUCGUUCAAGGGCAACUCAGCUAGCAAAUUUCUGUGGGCACUUCGCAUUCGUCUCUAUAACAGAACCCAAGAAAGUUGAAGAAGUCUUCAUAGAACCUGAAUGGAUUCAAGCUAUGCAAGAAGAGCUUCAACAGUUUGAGCUGAAUAAUGUAUGGGAACUAAUUAAGCGUCCUGAUCCACGGAAGCACAAUAUAAUAGGCCCCAAAUGGAUAUACCGCAACAAGCAAGAUGAGCAUGGUCAAGUUGUCAGAAACAAAGCUCGUCUCGUUGCUCAAGGAUAUACUCAAGUGGAAGGCAUUGACUUCGAUGAAAUAUUUGCUCCUAUGGCUAGACUUGAAGCCAUACGCAUACUGCUGGCCUAUGCAAAUCAUCACAACAUACUUCUAUAUCAAAUGGAUGUGAAGAGUGCUUUUCUCAAUGGCAAGAUUGAAGAAGUGUAUGUUGCACAACCGCCUGGCUUUGAAGAUCCAAAACAUCCUGACAUGGUAUACAAGCUCAACAAGGCACUGUAUGGCCUCAAACAAGCCCCUCGGGCCUGGUAUGACACACUCAAAUACUUCCUGAAGAGCAAAGGCUUCAUACCUGGUUCCCUAGGCCCCACUCUCUUCACGAAGACAUAUGAUGGUGAACUGUUUGUGUGCCAAAUAUAUGUGGAUGACAUUAUCUUCGGCUGCACCAAUCAGAAGUACAGUGAAGAGUUUGGAUAUAUGAUGCAAGAGCAAUAUCAGAUGUCCAUGAUGGGAGAGCUGAAGUUCUUCCUCGGUCUUCAAAUACGACAACAACGCAACGGCAUCUUCAUAUCUCAAGAGAAGUAUCUCAAAGAUUGCCUGAAGAAGUUCGGUAUGCAAGACUGCAAAGGCUUCACAACACCAAUGCCAGCCAAACAUCAUCUGGGUCCCGACGACAAUGGUAAAGAGUUUGAUCAAAAGGUAUACCGCUCCAUGAUUGGUUCUUUACUUUAUCUAUGCGCAUCUAGGCCAGAUAUUAUGCUUAGUGUUUGCAUGUGUGCUCGAUUUCAAGCGGCACCAAAGGAGUCGCAUCACUUAGCUGUGAAGCGAAUUCUUCGAUAUUUGGCUCACACCCCAACUCUAGGAUUAUGGUAUCCAAAGGGCUCAGAGUUUGAUAUGGUUGGACUCUCGGAUGCUGAUUAUGCUGGUGACAAAGUUGAUCGAAAGUCUACAUCAGGCACAUGUCACUUUCUGGGACGAUCACUUGUAUGUUGGUAUUCAAAGAAGCAGAACUGUGUAUCUCUCUCCACUGCUGAAUCUGAAUACAUUGCUGUUGGAUCUUGCUGCGCUCAGCUUCUGUGGAUGAAGCAAACACUCAAGGACUAUGGCAUUCAUCUGAAGCAAGUGCCACUUUACUGCGACAACGAAAGCGCCAUCAAGAUUGCCAACAACCCAGUUCAGCACUCGAAGACAAAGCACAUUGAAAUUCGUCAUCACUCAGAGAUCAUGUUGUGAAGGAAGAUAUUGAUAUCAUACACGUCAACACUGAAGAGCAAUUGGCAGAUAUCUUCACCAAGCCCUUGGAUGAGAAGAGAUUUUGCAAGUUACGGUGUGAGCUAAAUAUCCUGGAAUGCUCAAAUGUCCUGUGAUCAGGCACACAUCCUAACCCUUAUGCAUAUUGAUGACUUAGAUGUGCAACACACGAAGUAAAGUAUAUCUUCAAUCAAUGAAGACAUACAUUCUAAGUAUGAAUACAUUAAUGUGGAAUUUGACUUCGGAGUGCCACGAUAAUUGUGCGCCGUGUCUGGGUCUAAUACUUCCUAUACGGUGGGUAACGCCACCACCAAAUGUUCUAUUUUGAAGUGUUCCACUCAUGGCGUUACCAUGCAAUGUCUUCACAUUNNNNNNNNNNNNNNNNNNNNNNNNNNNNNNNNNNNNNNNNNNNNNNNNNNNNNNNNNNNNNNNNNNNNNNNNNNNNNNNNNNNNNNNNNNNNNNNNNNNNNNNNNNNNNNNNNNNNNNNNNNNNNNNNNNNNNNNNNNNNNNNNNNNNNNNNNNNNNNNNNNNNNNNNNNNNNNNNNNNNNNNNNNNNNNNNNNNNNNNNNNNNNNNNNNNNNNNNNNNNNNNNNNNNNNNNNNNNNNNNNNNNNNNNNNNNNNNNNNNNNNNNNNNNNNNNNNNNNNNNNNNNNNNNNNNNNNNNNNNNNNNNNNNNNNNNNNNNNNNNNNNNNNGUUCUAUCCUCUACAGCAUUCACUUAUAGCUAUGUCUUCAUUGUUGAAUCUUUUGAACUAAGUGAAUGUGAUCGGACCCUAACCUCUCUAUGCUUUCUAUCUCAAAUUCUAUCUCUCCAAAUCAUAUGCAUUCUAUUGAAACUGUCGAAUGUCUUCUCUGCGUCCUUGUCAGCAGAAGAUACAGAGACAACCAGUAAGUCCGUUUUCAAUGCUCAUUCCUCCACAUGAAGUAGGAACGACCACCCGACAAUCAAGGCAUGCGUGAGACGUGGAACAAACCCCAAAAUUCCGCAUAAUGGCCACAUGUUCCUCAGAUGCGAAUCGUCAGGGGCACCUGUGUAAUAGCGCAGUGCCGCCCAUGUACCUAUAAAUACACACUUCACAGCGGUCAUUAUCUCUUCUUCCACUCUCGCACGAACCCUAGCGCCACCGCUAGCCCUCGACGAUGCCGGCGACGAAGCGCUUCGCUGCCGCAACCUCUCUGACGUCGUCUUCACGCCGACCGCGGACAUCGUCCUCUCCGACGUCGCCGUAGGUGUCCUCCGUCGCCAAGUUAGGGCACGAAAGAUCGAACUGCUCGGCCUCAUCUUCCACUUCAUCUAGCAGUUCUUAGUGUGGUAAAUAAAACUUCCUUUUUACAGCACCAUUGAUCCUAUGGAUUUGUCACUUUCUACCACAAGGAGUUUCUAUUCACACAAGUUAGAUCUCUCUCAUACUGCAUCUCAUAACAUGUCUAGUAUAUUCACUUAUGCUUCACAAAGUAGUUAGAUUCCUCACUUGUACUGAUCUGUGGAUUCGUACAAAUCUGGAACCAACUCCUUAUCUAUGAGUGAAUGUCUUCGCAAAAUGAGGUCAAUGUCUUCUAUGAUUUAUCUUCAAAAUCUUCUGAGAAUGCAUAUGACCUCUUCCCCUUCCCUCGCACCUUAAUGCUAUUACAGGUACAUGUCCGUGGGAGAAUUCUUUGGUUCUCAUAGUCUGCAUUCAUUUGCAGAAUUCUUAUAGCAUCACAUUAAUUCUCCCGAAGCCAGUUCCUGUUGGUCCAGCAAGCGAAAACCUUUGAAGCCUUUGAAUGUGUUGAAGCCUUUCAAGUUAAAGUUUAUGGCGUCAGAGAAAGCAGCAAGGAAGGGUGGCAGAAAGUGUCAUGGAGAAACAUCCAGAGAUCUGCCAGAUGAACUCUCAGAACUGUACAAGACAGAUCCUGAAGAGGAUUACAAUCAGCGCAAGACCCGAAUCCAAUGGAUUCAAAGAUAUUGGGCAGAACAAUGGUUCAAAUACCGAUUUGUAACCCAGGAAUAUGCUGAGAAAAAUGCCAUCAAGAGACCAUGGGGAGACAUCCUAUACAAGAAUCUUCUGCCCAGGUCCAGAGAUGAAGCCAUUGAACAAGGCUUCUAUCCCUGCAUGGUCCGUGGGCCACAGCCUGCUGAUGCACACCCAUCGUCACUACUAUGGUGUCGUGAUGACAAUCUGUUCAAGCGCAACUUCCAGUUUGCCCAAAACUCAGCGAAGCAGAACAAGAAGACUUUGGGGUUAGACUUCAACCCUGGUCCCUCAGCACCAAGGGCAGAUGGCACACGAGAUGCAGAACCCAAUGUCAUCGGUCCUUUCUACAACCUUGAGGGCCUCAUCACCCGCAUCUUAGUUCAAGGGACUGCAGUGAAUGAGCCUGCAGCUGACGCUGAAUCAGAAGAAGCUCCUGCAGCGCCGAAGACAAAGAAGAUGAAGAAGCCUAAAGCUUCAAAGCCUGCCCCCUCACCAAAAAUCUCAAGGGCGAAGCCACUGGCAACUGCACCUCCUGAAGACAGUGUGCAGUCCGAAGACUUAUCUCGCAUCUCCAAGCCCCAGAAAGUCAAGAUGCCUCUGCCUCACACCGGACAAGAGCUAACCGCUACUGCCAUUCUGCGCAAUGACGACAUUGAUCUGUCAAGUGAUGAAGAUCUAGCAGAUGACGCUCUUGAGCAACUCAUCAAGAGCAAAGAAGAAGCAGAAAUCUUCAAUGAUCUGCCUCUCUUUGAUGUGACCAUCAUCCACAACUUCAUUGACGAGUGGUUUGACACGCCAAACAUCAGCUUUGAAGAUCUGCAGCUACCAAUUGGCCUCAGUGUCGCCUUCCAAGGCGCCAUUGCUUCAGAACUCGCUAUUGCCCAGCGCAUUGUUGAACUGAAGCAAAAGAUUGACUAUGAAAAGGCUCAGUUCAAGAAGCAUAUGGCCAAGCUCAGCGUGCAGGAAGUGAAGAACUUCAAGAGUAUGAUGCACGAGCUCAAGGAAGCCUUUGUAAAGAAACGUGCAGAAGCUCAGGGUUCGCGUGAGCGCAUGAAGACUCUGACUGACAGAUGUGUGCAAGCCUACAAUGAGGCUGAGAAGCGCAAGGCCCUUGGGCGUCCUGGCAUCGACCCCAGGAUGGCCGCAAAGAAGAAGAAGCCUGCUACGGCUGAACCUGACGCACCACGGCAGGAAGCAGUUCCGAUUGUCUUCCCAACUAGACUGACUGGCUCGAAGCCAAAAAGCCAGUCAACCGCUUCAGAGCUCAAGAAGACAAGGACUGCUGAGGCUGAAGCCAGGAAGAGGAAACAUUCUGAAGCCUCUCCAACUAUCCCCUCCAAGAAAAAGAGGAAGACCAAGAAAGAUCGGGCUGCUUCCACAGAGCCCUUAAUAGUUGAACCCAUUUCUAUGGUCUAUCCUGAAGCUGAACGCCAUGAACGCCAACUGACCAUCCAUGAGCCUGCUUCCACAGAGGCUCAUGAAGCUGAAGACUUUCCAGUAGCUGAUCCCAUCGCUGCUGAAGACAUUGGUCAAAAUGACAAUGUAGAAGAUGGUGCAGUCCUUCCUCAGAACAGCGAACUCAUCAGCAUUUGUCGUCCACUGACGCCAAUUGCACAGGAUGCUUCAUGGGCGGAUCGCCCACAAUAGGAAGAAGACUAUGAGGCCCAACCCACUCCAACUCCACAGGCGUCGCCCCUGUUGCGCAGGCUUCGCAAAGGUCCAAGGCCUCAAGUCUCUGCUGAAGACAAUCCGGCUGCAUCAGCCGCGGAAGAUGAAGUCCCACAAGUUCCCACUCCACUGUCCCACCAAGAAGCAGUUCUCAAGGAGAACGUGCUUGAAAAUCUUGCGGCUGCCACAACCACCAAUGAAGCUAAUGUGGAUCCCUCCCCAACGGAAAAAGAAGACAACGAAGCCACUGAUCCCGUCACUUCUGUUCCUGAGUCUACUGCCGGUCCACAGUUCGACUAUCAUGUUGAGCACAGGCCUCAGGUACAGAAGCCAAUCCCAAGAUUGCCAAGGUUCCCAGGUCCUGCAUCAGCACCUGGCUCCUUCAAUAUCAAUGGCUUCAGGGCAGACAACACAUUCUUCGAUAGCUCCAGGAACCCCUACUCAAGGGAAAGGAUAUCAUCUGAUCGGUUCUGGAGCUAUCCUCAGUGAAGCUAUUACUCGUGCAUUCUUUACAACCAAGGUCGCAUCUUCCACACAAGCGCCUUGACAUUGAAGCCAUAGCUGGUCUGCCUUGUCUGGAAGAAGCUUUGGAUUGCUUCAAGGAAGUUGGACUGCUGCCGUUCGUUACUGACCAAGAGCAUUGGAAUGAAGAGUUGCUGCUCCAAUUCUAUGCCACACUUCAUAUCCGCGGGUACAGCAGAGAUCCGAAGACUUGGAUCCUGGAGUGGAUGACCGGAAAUGUUUAUCACGAAGCUAAUGCAUUUGACAUCAUUGAGCUCACUGGUUUGCCCACUCCUGGCGAUCUCUACGAGCAUGGCUGUCAGCUGCAUAGUGAAGCUAUUGAGAGCAUCUUUAAGAGGCCGGAACCUGAUAUGAGUCAGAUGCUCAGCAUGAUGAAGCCAUUGCCCCAAGAUGCUGCUUAUCCAACAGAGUUCUUCGUUGAAGACCUUGAGUAUCUGCCACGAACCAUCUAUCACAUCAUCAGGCGAACUCUCUGGCCCAUCAAAGGGCACUCUCCAAAUGCCAAGCUUGAGGGUGCAAUGAAGACUUUGGUCUUCUAUAUUCUUCAUGGAAAAAUGCUUCAAUGCACGGGACUUAUUCAUCCGCCAACUUGCUGCAUCGAGCUCUGAUCUGUUUGGCUUGAAGUUCUACGCCCCAUGGGUAAUGCGGCUAAUUAAACUUCACUCCAAUAUCUCAUAUCAGCCAUCUACUCGCAAUCAUAGGAUUUUUCUGCCUGAUGUGGAUAUCUCUACUGAAGCCAUCUAUCCUGAGCCUGCAAAGGAACCUCUAAGUCUUCAUAAUGCAGAGCAUCAGAGUUUCUCACAGAAAUUGAAGGAGUUGAAGCAGUCACUCGGGCGUAUCCUUUGGCUGGCACUACACGUGCACCACACCCUGCGUCUACUGAAGCCACUGAUAGUACAACUGCUCCAAGACCCAAGAAGCACACUCGUGUUCUCAACGACCGAGAGCUUCUUGUGGCUCUUCAUCAGAAACAGGAUAGGCAUCAUGACUGGCUGAAGCGUCAGAUGAAAAGCCUCUUGGUGGAAGUUAAUCGCAUUCGCAAUCUUGCCACCAAGAAUGCUUUCGUUGCCCAUGAAACCUAUCGCCGUACAUGGAAAGGGCUAACGAUGAUGUGUUCUGAAGAUGAUCUCCAAGAGGAUGGCUUCACCAAGCGAUUCAAGUUUGACUCCACACCUCCUCGAAGAGCUGUGCUGCUAGGAACUCCACCCCUUGAAGACUCUGAGUUCUCUUCAUCUGCUGCAACAGUGACUGCCAGAGUUAUCGAGGAUGAAAAUGAUGCUACUUCACCACCACCUCCUUCAGCACGCGUCAACUCUGCUCCAAGCUCUUCAGCGCCGCCAAACACCACCAACGACCCUGCUACUUCACCUACUCCGCAUGGGAACAAGUAGAUGCUCUAUGUCUUCAAACCUUUUUGGUCCUUACUGACAAAAGGGGGAGAAGCAUAUGAGGUUGAUAGUCUUCAAGCGGGUCCAUAUGGGCGGGUGCUUUAUAUUUUGCUUCGUGCUUACAACUCUCGUUUUGCUACAUUUGGUUCUUUGAGUUGUAACACUUAAACUCAAUGGUCGUCUGCUACUUAUCUGCCACUUUGUUUUGCGAUGAUAAAUUCCGCAUGUGCGACGAUAAAUUCCGCACUUAGAUCAUUCUGCAGACGUCCAUUUUCCAUUAUGCAUGUCAUUAUCUUCAUAUACUUUCACAUGCAUAGUGGAUUGUCAUCAUAAGUUGAAGUGGAUCUCCACAAGUACAACCUGCCAUGUGCAUUUGCAUUCCAAAAGCAAAUUACCUAUAUGCACAUCUUCAGGGGGAGCCCUUGCAACUUAUGAAGACAAUUCCUUAUCCUUUACAAUUUCAUAGAUUAUAUUCCCCGUUAAAAACUUCAACUAGUUUGUCAUCAAUCACCAAAAAGGGGGAGAUUGUAAGUGCAUCUAGUGCCACCCCUAGUUGGUUUUGGAGUAUUGACGACAAACCUAGUUGAGGGACUAAUGUGUUUGUGAGAAUUGCAGGAUAACACAGGUAGAAGUCCCUCAUUGAUUCGGUUUUCCUACCAGAGAUGCCCCUAAAAAUGUAUGAAGACAUUGAAGUCAAAGGUGGUAUAUGAAGAUAUUCACAUUGAAGACUAUGACAAGAGAAGACACCACAUGAAGCCUAUGGAGCUCGAAGACUUAGAUCUUUCGUAGUUUUUUUUCUUUUGUGUUGAGUCAUAGGAACCACUGUACUGUUAAGUGGGGUCCAAGAGAACCAGUCAGACUGACUGAAGUGAUGCCUAAACAAGACCUAUGUCUUCGAGUGAAGACUAUGAGAGCGAAUCUUGUCCAGAGUCGGACAAGUUAGCUUUGCUUGUAGCCCAAGUAAAGUUGUCGUGUGAGUUUGAAAUCUGACCGUUGGAACACGUGUCAGUUCCUUAGUGACCCAGGGUCAUUUCGGACAAAUCAGGUCGGAUUGCCAAGUGGCUAUAAAUAGCCCACCCCCUACAACCAUAAACGGUGGGCUGCUCAGAUUGAGAGUACGGCUUUUGUCGUUUGAGAGCAACCCACCUCGAAUCCUUUGAGAGAGAAUUCCUUGCGAGGAUAAAGCCCUAACCACCCAGAGCCAGAGAGAAUUGGGCAUCACUUAAGUCUUCUUGUCUGUGUGAUCUAAAGACUUAUUACACUUGAGGACUGUGCAUCCUCCAGCCGGUUAGGCGUCACGUUCUGAGCAUCCAAGAGACAUUGUGGAUUGCCGGUGAACGAAGUCUGUGAAGGUUUGGGAGUCUACCUUGAAGACUUACCAGAGUGAUUGGGCGAGGUCUGUGUGACCUUAGCUCAAGGGGAAUACGAUGAGGACUGGGUGUCCUGAGCUGCGUGUUCAGGACUGGGUGUCCGGGACUGUGUGUCCUAAGGUUUAAAUACCUAGCCGCCCCAACCAGACGUACAGUUGUCACAACAACUGGAACUGGUCCAACAAAUCAUUGUCUUCAACGAGUCACUGGUUUCAUCUUCCCUUCCCUUUACUUACUGUUGCUCCUUGUGAAGUCAUUGUAUGUUUGCACUAUCUUUUGUCUUCACUGAGUGACUGCAUGUUCUGUAUGGCUUCAUAAUAUCUUCCUACCUGAUCCUUACUACAUUGCUGCCACUAAGUCAUUGUGCUUUCACUUCAUUGAAUACUUGACUAUGGCUUGCCUAGUGUAGUCUACCUUCCGCUGCAUGGUAAUAGAUUUAUUUCUAUCGUUUGUCUUCAUAACUUCCACGUUUUGAAGACUUUCAUAAAAAUUGCCUAUUCACCCCCCUCUAGUCGAUAUAACGCACUUUCAGCUAGUGCCGCCGACCCCCAACUCCACUUAACAUCCCAAUUACGAAGAGGGUCCAAGAACAUCCAUGAGGCUGUGUCUCCCGUGCCGUCAGGAAACACCACUUGGGUCAAAAGAUUCCAUAAGUAAGCCCUGGCGUACCUCUGCACAACAGCCGGACUGGCAUUCUCUGGGCACUCAUAAAAAUGUUCUUGUAGCCAAGAGAACAAAACACCAGAUGGCCUAGGAUCCUUCUUUGUUUCAUGAAUCCACGGGGGAGGUUCAACACCAACCAAACCUGCAACCCUUUGUCGCCACCCCUCAGACCUCACCUUCCCGGUAAGAGCCCUGCCCUCGAUCGGAAGACCGGAUAUCAUCGCAAUAUCCUCCAAAGUGACGGUCAUCUCAACAAGAGCAAGGUGAAAAGAGUGCGUCUCCGGCCUCCAACGGUCCGUAAGGGCGGUAAUGGCUGUCGAGUUCAGUCAUGCAUGGUGGUGUUCCUUUAAAGUUGAGCACAAACCGGAGAAGAUCCAUUCUUCUAAAAUAAAGCUCGUAGCGACGGUCAUACUUCAGGGACUCGCGUGGGUUAUGGCCUCUCAAACGAAGUACUGGAGGAACCUACAAAAAGCACACACACAAUUUAUAUACUUCUCUAAACUACUCACAAUACGAGAAUCAACAAUGUAGAUACAUAAUUACCUCCCCUCUUUCCACUAGCACAACACAAUGCUUCUCCUCGUAAUAAUCAUCAAGGCCGGGAUAUUUAUCCGGCUCAAACAUCUUACAAAAUAAGGUUAAUGGGUUUGUUAUGAUAUAUGCUUAAAAUUAUGACCACAUCAUAUACAAAAUCGUGUGAGAACUACUACAAAUUAUCCCAAAGAUACAAAUCACGAACGACAUUACCAACACCAAUUCUUUUCAACCUAUUUUAUCAUAAAGAAUCUAUCACAACUAAUUAUUAACAAAUAAUAGGUUCAACCUAAUCCAAAAAAUGGUCUCUCUCUAAAUCCAAUACUAAACAAGUUAACUAAGAAUACUUCAACACAAGGAGUAUACGUCUUCUUUCUAAACAUAAUGUAACCAAAAUAUUCAUCAAACACAUCACUAAUAACUCAUCUUAGGGUUCCACCAUGUUUGAAAAAAUGCAUCUACAAUAGCCAAUCUUGACUGAAAAUAAAUGGAGGAUUGGGAAGAGAAUAUCUCAAGCAACUCGGGGAUGCUCCGAUCUACUCGUUUUGAUGAUCAAAAUAGCAGAUCUGGGGGAGAUUUGGUGAAGAAGAGGGAGGGGGCGGGGAGAUUUGGUGAAGAAGAGGGAGGGGGCGGCCGCCAGUUCGUCCCUGAAGGAACUGCCCGACCGGGACUGGGACUGCAAGUGGGCUGGGUUAGGCCCGCGCGGCCCGUGCGCGUUACUUAAUCCAGUUCAGAAAUGCAAGAUCAGCGAAAACAGCGGGUUCGGACUGACUGUGGGCCAGGGCAGAAACGCUAGUUGUCUUGGUGUUUUCGUGUUGGCAAGGAACACUAGCUUGUUCGGCGUUUCUAUGUUGGGUGGAAACGUCACGGGCUCUGGCGUUUCUAAAAGGGUCAAAUCACAGAAUACUUUCACGUCAAGUUCAGUUUGUGACUAUAAAUGUUAAGAUCAGAACAGUNNNNNNNNNNNNNNNNNNNNNNNNNNNNNNNNNNNNNNNNNNNNNNNNNNNNNNNNNNNNNNNNNNNNNNNNNNNNNNNNNNNNNNNNNNNNNNNNNNNNNNNNNNNNNNNNNNNNNNNNNNNNNNNNNNNNNNNNNNNNNNNNNNNNNNNNNNNNNNNNNNNNNNNNNNNNNNNNNNNNNNNNNNNNNNNNNNNNNNNNNNNNNNNNNNNNNNNNNNNNNNNNNNNNNNNNNNNNNNNNNNNNNNNNNNNNNNNNNNNNNNNNNNNNNNNNNNNNNNNNNNCAGUGAUUUCGUCCUCAAAAUACUGAUAGCAGAGGGGGGAGGGGGGGGGGGGUCGGGAGAGUAAUGAAUGGUGAGAUUCAAGGGACAGAUGUCCCCAGGAACCAACAGGCAUUCCCCAUAUAAAAAAAACUAAAAAUAUAAUUUUGCACGAAUGCACAAGAUCAAACAAAUAUAGCAUCGACUGAGAAAAGUCAAUGUCUCAAUUGAGACUUAGCAAAAUUGGUUUCAAACUCGACUUGUUUAAAAAAAACGCUGGCAGCCAGAACUGUUUUCUACUAGUAAGUAGCAGGAUUUUUCCUGCUCUCCUAAAAAAGGGGCAAACUACCAAGCAAAUUAAACGAGCAAACUAUAAGCAUCUCCAUUCAAAUGUAAAAGCUGCUGGUUAGACAUGACACAAUCAUCAGAUGGGAAUAACGGUUCUAUAUGUCCUUUAUUGUGAGCCCCACUUAGAUAACAUCAGCAUCUACAGAAUCGAUUGCAUUUUUGACAAUAAUAUGCGAUUGUGCAGUAAAAGCUCGUUCUGUUCAGGAUGAAAGCAUGACAGAUAAUGGCGACAUAACCAAAAUGACUUGAAUCGAUGAGUAAUGACUAUUCAAGCAUUGAAGAGGGAGAGGUCUUUCACAGUCUUGAUUUGAGCUCAGCAGCAACUGCGUCAAUGAACUCUUCAGUGUUCAGGUAAUCGCCUCUUGUAACUCUGAAAACGAAAUAGCACAAUGAGAUAUCAGAUUAUCAAUUAUGAAUACAGUAGAGGGAAAGCUGAGCAGCAUAACAUACUUUGAGGAUCCAUGAACAAGGAGUGCAAGGUCCUUGGUCAUCUUCCCAGACUCCACAGUUCCGACGCACGCUUCCUCAAGUUUCUGUGCAAAUUCAAGAAGUCUAGCAUUCUCGUCUAGCUUUGCCCUGCAGUGUGGACAUGGGAGAAUCAGCUAAAAAGCAAAGUCCACUAGAGUAAUAAUUAUAGGGACCAAUAUACUUGUCUUAAUUACUAUUUUGGUCACACCAGAAAAAGGUUUGCUGUCACUGAUACAGUAUAGCUGAACAAAGAGGAAAUUACCCUCGUAUACAUGGUUAUCACAAAGGGUUGCACACUUGCACCGGUAGAGAUAUAGAAGUAAUAGGUGUACCUGUGUGCAAGUCCUCUUGUCCAAGCAAAGAUUGAAGCAAUGCUGUUUGUGCUGGUUUCACCACCUUUCUGGUGAACACGGAAAUGGCGGGUAACUGUGCCAUGGGCAGCUUCAGCUUCGAUGGUUUUACCAUCAGGGCACAUCUAUAAAUAUCAAAAGGAAUUAGCACAACCUAACAAAUAUUCUCAAUAUAUAUGUAGAAGUACCGACAUGGAUAUGACCAAAGUAAAGGCUUUUCACACUAAGAGAUAACACCCAAGAUUUAGUCAAGAUUCAAGAACAUUAGUAAUGAGAAAAUACAUACCAAUACUGACGUCAUCAAGCCCAAAGAACCAAAACCUGCACAUACACUUCAGCAUUGGUUAUUGAGCACGGGACAAAAGAUAAAUUUUCUGAAUAUUUUAUGCAGAGACUCAAAAGUUACAGUGUUGUGACCUUGAGCUAAGAAAUCACUCUGCACAUCUCCGUCAUAGUUCUUGCAAGCCCAAACAUAGCCUCCUUCGCUCUUAAGUGCAUAGGCAACCAUGUCAUCAAUGAGACGAUGUUCAUACCUACCAAAAAGCAACUCAUGACAUACUUUGACAAAAGAUUACAAAAGAGCUCGAAGCAAGAAUGAUUCAAAACGCACCAUAUUCCAGCAGCCUCAUAUUUGGAUUUCCAGCCAGCUUCAUAGAUCUCCUGGAAAAUGUCCUUGAACCUACACAAUAAAAGUAUAUUUAGCCUGAUCUAAUUGUCUCGGAAUAGGCUUUAACUAAUAUUUAAGUGUAGCUAUGAACUACCUGCCAUCAUAUUUCUUAAGGAUUGUGUUUUUUGUGCUAAGGUACAAUGGCCAUUUCUUCUCAUAAGCGAUUGCCAUAGAAGCUUCAGCAAAACCUCGAAUUGACUGUACACAAUAAUUAAUUAAUUAGAUGUCAGGAUUUUACUCCAAAAUGCAAAUAUUGUUUGUAACUGCAGAAACCAGUCCAGGCAUAGCAGUACCUCAUCUGUGUUGUACAUAGCCAUGGCGACUCCUCCAGCACCAGUGAAGUUAAAAACCUCAAGGUCAACCGUCUCGUCUUUUCCCUCUGCCAGUAGACCAAAGAAACAAAAAGGCAAAGAAUAUCAGCGUUUGCUAGCACCAGUUCUCCAAACAAACAAUACAAUCAUACGUGAAAAUAUAGAACUACAAAGACUUCAUUCUUUCAUGCUUAAUUGUAAGUGGAGUGGUUAUGCAACCGUACCGAAAACUAGUCUGAGUUUGCCAGGUCCCUUGAGAACGGCAUCAGUUGCUCUGUACUGAUCACCGAAAGCAUGCCUUCCAAUGCAGAUGGGCUUAGUCCAUCCUGAUUACACCAAAGAAACAGUUUAGCAAGGAAAUUUUGCAUUCCAAAAUGUGUGUUCACGUUAGAAAAAAAAGUAUGCACUCACUCCGAUCCAUAUUAUUUGUUACUGCUUUAGUAGUACAAAGUUGUACUAAAGCAGGGGCAGGUAAUAUGAAUCGGAGGGAGUAGUAGCUUUAAUCCUCCUUACCUGGAACAAGCUUUGGGACAUUCUUGCAUAUAAUUGGCUCUCUGAACACGGUGCCUGCAGGUAACAAGUGUAAAGAGAAAUGUCAACAAUCUAACUACGUCCAUUUUUUUAGCGAAAACCUAAUAUGUCCAUUAUAUUGAAAUACAGCAGGAGCUUGCCGUUUAUAAUGUUCCUAAUUGUGCCAUUUGGGCUCCUCCACAUUUGUUUUAGGUUGAACUCCUUAACCCGAUCUUCAUCUGUCAUGGUGAAGUAACCAGAUAUUAGAGAGAAAAUAUCAUCAAAUAGUGCUAGUGCUUCAACAAUACGAAGAACAAAUAAUUGAGCUGCAUAAGCUUGAGUGAAAUAUACCUGGAGUAAUAGUUGCACAUUUAAUAGCCACAUUGUACCUGAAAAUAAUAUUGGAUUAGAACAGCACUAUAGAACAACAAAGUCAUAAGAAUAUGCUAAAGUUAUAUAUGGUCAAAUCCUUCUGACAAAACUAGCUAGUUUCAAAGAUAUGAAAAUGAUACAACUAAUCAACAAGAGUAGUGAAAAGGUAUCUGCCUCACUGUUAAUAAUAUUUGAAUAAUUAAGAACAUCAACCAUAGUACUCAAAAUUCGUUGGGAAAUAUACCACAACAGAACUACUAAUGAUUAGAAAACAGGACAAACAAAUUAUAGGCUACAUAAAACGCUUGUAAUGGUGUGAUCACAGCAAUCAUAUUUUUACUUGAACACAAGCAUAACAUCAGCAGAAACUCAGAUUAUUCAAAACUUCUUACUUGAGAGUAGCCUCUGCAGCCUCCACUGUAACCUUGUCAUCAGUUGCAUCGCGGUGUAGAACUCCCAAGUCAAAGUACUUAAUGUCCAAGUCCAAAAAUGGGAAGAUAAGCUGAAACAAAGAAAUAAUCAGCCUGGCAGCAUAUGGAAAACAAGAACCACACACACAGAAUGGCCCAAGCGGAUCAGAUUUGUCAGAGCUGUUGCUUAUUGAUUACCUUGUCCUUGAUAGACUGCCAGAAUACUCUGGUCAUCUCAUCGCCUAUAGGUUAAAGAAACAAGACAUCAGCACGACAGUGGACCAACAAAUCAAUUGAUUACAUAUAAGAUGAAAAAGAACUACAAAAUAUUAGUAUUAUUUUGUGAACAAAUUUAUUGCUUAAACUGAAAGUUCGACAUCAUUUUCUUUCCAAAAAAAAAGAGCUACCCAAUGCAACAUGCGAUGCAGGCAUGAAGCACUGGCUACGAUUGGACCGAAAGCGCCAGCAAUCGUAUCGAAAAAACUUACAGUUUCUGAAAAUAGAUUUCAGAAACGAGAUCCAGCAGUUAUACGUCAGGCAUAGUACGCCCAACCCUGCACCUUCCGAUUGUCAACAGACAAUCGUGAUCGUACCCAAGGUGUCAUACAUGUGCAGUUAUCUCGCCAUCUACGUUCUAAAUCCGAUCUCCGACACCACGGCGGCGAUCCAAGUACGGAGAUAAUAGAUCAGACAUCAGAGACACCUGAACCCAACAGUUAAGAUAUUGAAAAAAAGGAGGGGCAGAACGACGGCUAUACAUCUCUCAGAUCUCCUGGCAUCACCCCGACCAGAAUACAAAAUUCAGCAAGACAUCGUUUAUAUCGGCAAGGGAACGGCGGAGAUAGAUCUGCCGGGGAGUGGGAGUGGAGUGGAAGGGGGAUCUGACCGUCCAUCUCGACGAUGGGGUUGGUGACCUUGAUCUUCUCGAACGCCAUGGCGGAGGCGCUGCUUGCCUCGGAGGUCGGGAGCGGGUCGGGGCAGGUUGGUGGGGGAGGCGGCGGCUGUGGUGGCACGGGAAGGAGAGAGAACGGAGUGAGCAACUUUGCCAGCGCAUUUAAAGACCAGGCGGAGGGGGCGAGUGGGGCCCGUCUGCGGUAGGGAUAUUUUAGAAAAUCAUUUAAAUCUGCCUCACUCCGGCCGAUAGGAUCGGAUCAGACUGCGCGAGGUUGGGAUGGGGUGUUUUGGAAUUUGGAUGGUGCAUGCGGGUGAAGAGACUUUGGGACCUCAGUGGCCAAGGAGUUUUUGGCUUGCAAGUGUCUGAAGAGUCCGAGUUUUUUUUAGCACUGCAAUGCACACAACAUUGUGUGCAUGAUCGUUUAAAAAAAAAACAUUGUGUGCAUGAUGAUGUCAAUCUGGUGGAAGAGCUCAUUGAUCAGGAGAAUGGUGAUUGGGAUAGAGUGAAAAUUGAGGCAAAUUUUCUGCCACCUGAUACAGAGGCGAUAUAUAGAGUUCAUGUGGGGCAUAUGCCGGAGGACAUCUGGGCCUAGAAGCAUGAUAAAUUAGGAAAUUUCUCUGUUCGGUCUGCAUACAAAGCUUUAUUACAGUUGAAGAGACAAAACGAGAGUGCAUCCACCUCCAUGACUGCUCCUAUUAGUCAUUGACAGAAGUUGUGGAAAAUCCCAAUGCCGCCUAAAGUUUGUAAUUUCUGAUGGAGGAUUAUUAACAAAUUUGUGCCAUGUCGUUCGGUUCUACAGAAGUGUCAUAUAUCAUUUUGCGAGGAUUGCAGAGUCGAUGAAACAAUAACACAUGCAUUGUUCUCUUGUACAUGGGCCAAGGUUUUUUGUCUGAACUGAAGUGUUUCCUUCUUGACAACGAGAAAGUUCCAGAAUCACUUGCUGCCAUUAUCUUAGUUGGGUGCUGGACGGUCUGGACAGAACGAAACAAUAGGAGACAUGGGGAACGAUGUUGUCGGUGAGAACGACACCUAUGGGAUCACUGGGAUCCCUUCUAUGGUCGGCGGGCGCGGGGUCAUGAGAAGAGCAGGUUUAGGAGCUAGCACACGGGUCGUUUAACCAGGUUCGGGCCGCAAGGAUGCGUAAAACCCUAGUCCUGCUUUGGUGGAUGUAUUGAGUGUUCUUGAGCUUUCUGAACUAGCUACGGUGGUUGCGCCGUUCCAAAAAGCCGAAUCGCCCUCCUGGUCGCCUCGGGCCUCCUUUUAUAAAAAAAGGGGGCCGCCACAGUGGCACACAGGAGGUGGAAAGGCCUAUAGUGCGCGAGCUUAUCGCACGGCAUUACGGGACAAAGCGCAUUAAAUGCACUAUGUAGGUGUCCAUUAGCUUUAUCGGGGACGGGAACGAGGCCCGGCCCGUCCGUCGCCGCUCCGCCUCGCUUCGACACACGCCCAAGCUAGCAAUGCAUGCAGCGCCAUGUAGGCAGGCAGGAAGCUGAGGUGGCGCGGUGGUAGGGCCUUCAUGAAGAUCUGCAUGCCGCCACGCAUGUGCUUGCUGAUUUGGCCUGGAAGCUGCAUGUUGCCACGCAGGUGCCUGCCCAGCUGAUUGGGUUGGCAGCUGCAUGCGAACGGUGGCGGAGUCUUGGCUGGCGCGGGCCUGGCAGUGGCCCUACUGACGCCCUCGGCAAGGGUCUUGUUGGGGGCCCGGCAAGGAUCUUGCCAUGGCGUUGCUGUCAUCCCCAGCAAGGGUCUUGCCGGGGGUCUUGUGGAUUUCCUCAGCCAAGAUCCUGCCGAGGGUUGCUGUCUUCUGGUCCUCAUCUGAACUCAUAUGUUUAUGAGCUUGACGAAGAUUUGCAUGCCACCACAGAAGCGCCUCCCGAGCCUUGGUUCCAAGAUAGUUGGUUAGGUUGCAGUNNNNNNNNNNNNNNNNNNNNNNNNNNNNNNNNNNNNNNNNNNNNNNNNNNNNNNNNNNNNNNNNNNNNNNNNNNNNNNNNNNNNNNNNNNNNNNNNNNNNNNNNNNNNNNNNNNNNNNNNNNNNNNNNNNNNNNNNNNNNNNNNNNNNNNNNNNNNNNNNNNNNNNNNNNNNNNNNNNNNNNNNNNNNNNNNNNNNNNNNNNNNNNNNNNNNNNNNNNNNNNNNNNNNNNNNNNNNNNNNNNNNNNNNNNNNNNNNNNNNNNNNNNNNNNNNNNNNNNNNNNNNNNNNNNNNNNNNNNNNNNNNNNNNNNNNNNNNNNNNNNNNNNNNNNNNNNNNGAGUGAGUCCACCUCGCCCUCUUGCCCUCCUGCGCUUCUGGUCUUGGCGUUGUCUUGGUUGCCUCGUGCUUCGGCUUCUCUCCGGCUUCCCUCCUCUGCCCUGCUAAGCAUGGCCGCGGCGCAUGGCUCUGACUGCCCGUGCAUAAGUAAAAGGGGUCAAAAGGGGAGCUCCUACUUUUGUACACCGACAGGAGCCCCCGGGCCUGGGCCAUACAUAAGCAUGACGCGUUGUUGGGCUAGGCCCACAACAGUGCGCGGGCAGGUGGGACGAAUUUUACCAUACUAAUUUCUCGUCCGCUGCGCUUCCCCACGACCCGCAUUGAACGCGCGAUGUGGAGGGUCGUGCAUGACGUGGGGGUCAUGUGUGGGGCGGUUUUCACACGUAUGCGUCACAUCGUGGUAAAGAGGCGGCCCGCGUCUUUCCCGUAAAAGGAGGGAGGCGCAGAGGCACAUCCCAUUUACUUGGGUGGACUCGGGUCGUGGUCUUCAAGGCGCCCGCACCCCACGAUCACGGGGUGGGGAGCGGCUGCUUCGCCUGUCCCUUCAAUGCUGCUCGCUCGCCAUGUGUCCUUCAUGCAGGUGGUAGGAGGUGGAGGCGAGAAACCGGGUCAUCGCUGAUUGGGGCAGCGGGCCGGUCCUGAUUCCCUGCGCCCCCGAUGACCGGAUUGGUCGAGUGAGGCGGCCGAGCCCCGACUCCGCCCCUUUAUAAGGAGGGGAGGGGGCGGCAUUCCACAUUCUUCCAUCAUCCGUCUCCUUCCACCUCCGCUUCUUUCUUCCAUCCGCCAUGGCGAGAGGAAACGCUGGCCCUUCGACGGUGGUGGCGAGGGUUGCUGCUCGUCAGCGCGUUCCUCCUCCCCAAGAGCUCGUGGUGGAGGAACCGGCCACGAGAGGUAGGGGGAGGGGGCGAGGCCGAGGUCAUCGUGGCGCUCAGGGGAGAGGAUGACGGGGCGGCGCAUCGGCCUCGCCUCCGCCAGUGAUGCCUCCACCGAUGGAGCGCCACAUCAGGGACCAGCCCCGCGAGUUCUUCAUCAGGCUGCGCCAGCCACCGCGUCGCCGCCUCCGUCUUCCUACUGCAUUUGCUCGGGAGAUGGAGCUCGAUCCACCCCAGACCCUCUGGUUGCACAUGAAGGGAUCCGAGAACGGCGGCACACGGGUCAACGUCGACUUCCCUGCUCCUCACGGCAUGUACCUCCAUUGUGGAUGGAAGACAUUCACACGCAACGACAGCUUGGACGGCGGGGUUUGUCCUCUACUUCAAGUUAACGGAGGGCAGCCUGCUUUCCGUCAAGGUCUUUGGAGAUCUCGGAACUCGCUUGAAGUGCUGCGUGGAGAGCUCCUCCGACGAUGAAGAUUUCUCCUCGAGCGGGAGUGAUGAGGAGGACAGCGACAGCGACGAUGAGGGAGUCGAGCGGCAGGAUGCCGACUCCGACUUCGACUGACCGCACCGCCAUUCCCUCGGCCACGCACCUUGCCGAGGGCCAUCCUCGCCAAGCUCUCCAUCGGGGUGCUCCCCGUCGUCUCCUUGGGCGGCUGGCGUAGGAGGGUCAGAGAAGGCGAAGAAGGCGGGUGGCGGCCGUCAAAUCGAAGUACGCGGGCACCACGCCUUCGUCGCGUAUUGCCGGCCUGCUGCCUCAUCUUCCAGCUCCCCUCCCGACACUGGGACGUUCUCUUGGUGCCUUCUGCUCCUCGCACCUCGCCUAGGCGAUCUUUUCGCCCUCCUGCCCUCUUACUCCACCUUCUGAGAAGAGGGACAAGAAAGGGAUUACGGGCAUCUUAUCCUUUUUUUAGUUUGUAAGCCUGCGGACACUUGUUAAUUCUAAGACUUGUAAUCUCCUUUGCUCAUGUUUUUAAUUCCGUAUGAACUGUACCUAUAUGGGAUGUUUUUAAUGAAAAAGGGUGCUUGCCGGGUUCUUUGUGCGUGAGCGAGGCCCAUGCUAAGGAUGAAUCCUUCUUGUUUUGAAAAUAAACAUUGUCGCCCGGUAAUAGGCCUUGCCGUCUCCCCACUUCGGUCGAUCAUUCUCGCGCUCUUGGCGGAGGCAGGGCGAAGUAGAGUUAGGCCCCUCGUUCAUCUCCUCGCCACCGCGACUACUACCAAAUUCCGACCCAGGAGGUAGCUCUUGGGUACAAGAAAGGGGGAGCACGGUGGUUUUAAGAACAUAAACAAGGUUUCACAUGUCCCGGUUCUAUAUGAAAAUGCAUAAUAGGGGAUGAAAGACUUAUCUGGAUCCGCAGCCCCUGGCAACCUUGGCUCGCCGUGGUUGGAUCCUUGUAUCUUUAGCCCCCGGCAGUCUUGGCUUGCCGGGGCCGGAGCGCCGGUUUGUUCUCUUUUUCCCGAGCGGCUCAGCAGAAGUGUCUGCGUGCCCUGUGAACCAAAGAGAACAGAAAGACGCACACUCGACCUCUAGACGUUAGUCGCCGCUAAGCACUAUCAACCCUAACCGAGGGAGAGACUUGACCUAGCAUGCAUGCUAUACUUAGGGCGCCAGCGCUUCAUUUAUUUAUGCUCAGGGUCUGCGUCUGGCUUCGUACAGAGGGUUACAUGCCUUGCCGGCAAGGCUCAUACAAAAGGUGGUUCACCGGGAGGCCCGGCAACCGUGCCUUAUGGGUAAACCUUGCGAAGAUGUUCGAUGUUCCAGGAAUUGCUUACUGGGAUAACAUCUUCGGCCUCCAGGCGGACAGCGCCGGGCCUGGUGACUCGUAUUACCCGAUAAGGGCCUUCCCACUUUGGCGUCAUCUUGUUGGAAUUCUUGGUCGACUGAAUGCGCCGAAGAACAAGGUUGCCUUCCUCAAAAUUUUGGGCAUGAACCUUGUGGCUAUGGUAGCGGCGCAAGAUUGCUAGUAGCGUGCUGCUCUCACAGCCGCCUGAAGACGAUGUUGCUCAAGGAGCAUUUCAUCAUCUUGCUGCAAUCUCUCUUGCUCAAGCUCGUCAUAAGCGAGCACUCGAGGUGACCCGUAUAUGAGUUCCGUGGGGAGAACUGCUUCUGCCCCGUAUACCAGGGCAAAGGGUGUCUGGCCGGUGGCUCGAUUUGGCAUCGUUCUGAUCAACCAAAGAACCACCGGCAACUCAUCAAUCCAGCGCCUUCCGCUUUUGUGCAGCUUGUCAAAAGUCUUUGUUCCCAGGCCUCAUAGUACUUCAUCAUUUGACCUCUCCGCCUGGCCGUUGCUCUGUGGGUGUGCCACGGAAGCAAAACAAACCUUGCUGUCGAGGUCUCAGAUGUACUGCAUGAAGGCGUGGCUUGUGAACUACGUGCCGUUGUCGGUGAUGACUCUGUUUGGCACACCAAAACGGCAGACUAGUCCCUUGAAGAACUUGAUGGCUGACUGUGUUGUCACCUUCCUCACUGCUUCCACCUCCGGCCACUUUGUGAACUUGUCGAUUGCAACGUACAAGUACUCAAAGCCCCCGAUAGCAUGGGGGAAGGGGCCCAGUAUGUCGAGCCCCCAGACCGAAAACGACCAGGAGAGAGGAAUUGUUUGAAGGGCUUGAGCUGGUUGAUGAAGCUUCUUUGAAUGGAACUGGCAUGCUUCACACCUGGUUACUAGUGUCGUCGCAUCCUGGAGGACGGUGGGCCAGAAGAAGCCUUGCCGGCAAGGUCCCUCGACCCUAUGUGGGAGCCACAUAUGCCUCCAUGUAUCUCUGGCAACAGCUCCAGUCCUUCCUCCCGGGGGAUGCACUUCAAUUUCACAUCGUUCGGUCUUUUUCUGUACAAGACGUCAUCGACGAACUGGUACAAGGCAGACCGACAGACUGCUUUUUCCGCUUCUUCCUGCUCCUCAGGAAGUUCCCCUGUCUGGAGGAAACAAACGGUAUGUUGUGCCCAUGCCGGAGCCUGGGGCUCGACGGCAAGGACCAAAGGCAUCUCUUCCGCCAUGGGGGCAGCCAUCUCUACGGCCAGGGCUUGGCACCCUGCCGGAGCUAGCUGCCCCUUGGUAGGCUCGGAAUCCGCGGCAACACCCUUGCUGGCGGCCCCUGGGGGCUCGGCGGGAAAGUACUUGCUGGGGCCCGACUUCCUCCGCUUGUUCUGCUCCGUUGAUGGUUCGACGGAUGGUUGAGUUAACCGAAGCAAAAAGGUACCUGAUUCCAUAGGUAGCUUGAAUGCAGCGCGCUUUGAUAGGUAGUCGGCGAUGUCGUUCUCCGCUCGGGGAGCGUGCUCCACUUGAAUACCGUCGAAGCGCUCCUCCAGCUUCCUCACCUCAUCUACGUAGGCCUCCAUCAACGGACUCUGUUAAUCUUUGUUGACCUAUCUAACAACAAGCUGCGAAUCACCCCUAACGAUGAGCUUCUUCACCCCGAGGUAUGUCGCGAUCCUGAGACCGGCGAGCAGCCCCUCGUAUUCAGCAGUGUUGUUUGUGGACAUCUCCGUGGGAAAGUGCAUCUGGAUCACAUACUUGAGGUGCUCUCCGGUGGGUGCGACAAGCAGCACGCCGGCAUCGGCGCCUUGCAGCGAGAAAGCCCCAUCAGAGUGCAUGAUCCAGUCACGACUUGCUUCCUUGCCGGGGAGAGCGGUCUCCUGGAUUUCCUCGUCGGACAUUGAGGUCCAUUCUGCAAUGAACUCUGCCAAGACCCUGCUCUCAAUUGUCGAAGUACUUUAAAACUUCAAACCAAAGCUUGACAACUCCAGGGCCCACUCCACAAUCCUUCUGGUUGCAUCUGGGUUGUGCAGUAUCCGUUGCAACGGGAGGCGGGUGACGACAAUAAUCUUGUGGGAUUGGAAGUAAUGAUGUAGCUUCCUCGAGGCCAUAAGGAGGCCGAAGAGCAAUUUCUGCACACCGGAGUACCUUGAACUGGCCCCCUGCAAAGAGGGAGCUGACAAAGUAAACUGGGUGCUGCAUCAUCUUCUUCUUCUGCACCACUUCACUUGGAUGCGCGGGCCCUGCCCCGAUGGCGUCGGACUCUGCCGGGGUCCUUGCCUUGCCGGCACCAGGCCUGCCAGGGGGAAUCUCUGACUUGCCAUCCACCGGUCCUGCCAUUACCGCUGUCUCUUCGUCGACCUCCCUCUGUGCCACUAGCGGCGCUGACCACUUGAUUCGUUGCCGCCAGAUACAGCAGCAACAGCUCUUGUGGUUUAGGCGCAACCAGUAUUGGCGUAGAGGAAAGGUAUUUCUUCAGAUCCUGCAAUGCCGCCUCGGCCUCUGGGGUCCACUCCAUUGGGCCUGCCUUCUUCAAGAUUUUGAAAAAGGGAAGAGCACGUUCAGCGGACUUGGAGAUGAACCUGCUCAUGGCAGCAACGCAGCCAGUGAGCCGGCGCACAUCCUUGAUCCGCCUGGGUACCUCAAUCUUGUCUGGGUUUGCCUCGAUCCCACAUUGCGACACAAAGAACCUGAGAAGUUUUCCUAACGGGACGCCAAAGACACACUUCUCAGGGUUCAGCUUGAGGUUGAUCUUGCGUAGGUUGGCAAACGUCCCUCCUAGGUCUUGUACAAUGGUCGCCUUGUCCUUGGUUUUGACCACUAUGUCAUCCAUAUAUGCUUCCAUAUUUCUAUGUAGCUCGGGCUCAAAACCAAUCUGAACCGCCCUUGUGAAUGUCGAGCCAGCACUCUUCAACCCGAAAGCAUCCGUAAAAAGCAAUACGUACCACAUGGGGUGAUAAAGGUUGUCUUCUCUUCAUCUUCUCUUGCCAUGAAGAUCCGGUGAUAGCCCGAGUAGGUGUCGAGGAAUGACAACAGAUCACACCCGGCCAUGGAGUCAACAAUCUGGUCGGUGCGCGGCAAUGGGAAGUGGUCCUUAGGACAAGCCUUAUUGACAUCCGUGUAGUCAAUACGCAGCCUCCACUUCCCAUUUGCUUUGCGCAUGACCACCGGAUUGGCCAACCACAUCGGAUGGAGCACUCCUCUCACCAAACCUGGCGCUUCCAAUUUCCUGAUCUCCUCUGUGAUGAACUCAUGUCGUUCCAAAGCUUGCUUCCUGACCUUCUGCUUGACGGGUCACGCAUGGGGACAGACAACAAGGUGGUGCUCAAUCACUUCCCUGGGAACGUCGGGGAUGUCGGAUGCUUGCCACGCAAAUACAUCGACAUUCACUCGCAGGAAAAUGACGAGCGCGCUUUCCUAUUUGCUGUCGAGGGUGGAGCUUAUUGUAAGGGCUAUUUAUCCCUAAGGUGUUUUGGUGAUUGAUGACAAUGCGUUUGCGGAAUAAUCGUGUGUCUUGAGUUUCCUAGAUGUUUCUUCGCUAGGCACAAGACGUUUUGGUGUCCCUCGAAGACUAUUGAAGACGGCGUUUUUCUACGUUUCUUUUUGGUGGAUUUGAGUCGUAGGAAAGCCGUACUAUUAAGAGGGGGUCCGCGUCGGAAAGGUUCGGGUGGAAUCAUCACGUACACAUUUCUUCCUAGUCCCCUCCUUCCCCCUGCACCUUGGAGCUUCCUCUGCUUGUUUCUCUUUACCUUGUUCUGGCUGCUGUGUUGGCUUGCGGUAGUACUGCUCCCUGGUGAGAGGUAGUACCGUAGGCACCAGCGGUAGUACCAUGCGGUGGCGCGGUAGUACCACAGGUGUGCACGGUAGUACUGUUCCUUUGGAGCCAUAGUACCGUGACCCCCAGGCCAAGUACCGCUCCCUCGCGGUAGUAGGGGCGGAUGUAAUUUUUUACAUCCGCACUACCACGGUAGUACCGCAACCCUUCUGCGGUAGUACCGUGCGCGGCCUGGCUCAGCUGCCAGGCGGUAGUACCGCUCCUCUGCGGUAGUACCGUGUCGGAUUUUUGCUACGUCCGUUUUCCAGCGGAAGUAGGCACGGAUGUUCUGUUAUCCAUGCUCUUCCCAGGUUUGGGGUUCCCUGCCUUGCGGUAGUACCGCAAGGGGGAGCGGUAGUACCGCGUCUGCGGAAGUACCGUCCUCAGCCCAUGUGCGUAAGAUCUGCCCUAGCUACUGCUGCUGCUGCUGCGGUAGUACCGCGGCUCCUCCCGGUAGUACCGCAUGGCCCAGCGGUAGUACCGAUGUCCUGGAGCGGUAGUACCGCUGGUUGCGGGCUGGUUGGUGGAUAACGGUUGGAUUGUUGCCCCCACUAUAAAAGGGGUCCCCCUUCUUCCCCGUUGACUUACCUCUUCCAACCCUAAGCUCCAUUGUGGCUCCAAGCUUCAUUUUCGCCCGAUCUCACUCCCUAGCCAAUCAAACUUGUUGAUUUGCUCGGGAGUGGUUGAGAAGGCCCCGAUCUACACUUCUGAAAGUGCGUUACAUCGAAUAGAGGGGGGUGAAUAGGCGAUUUUUGUGAAAGUCUUCAAAACAUGGGAGUUUUGAAGACAAACGAUAGAAAUGAACCUAUAACCAUGCAGCGGAAGGUAGACUACCCUAGACAAGCCAUAGUCAAGUAUUCAAUGAAGUGAAAGCACAAAGACUAACAACAGCUAGGCAGUACGGAUCAGGAUGGAAGAUAAUAUGAAACCAAUCUGAACAAAUAGUCACACAGUGAAGACAAAUGGACAAUGCAAAUAGGCAAUGACUUCACAAGGACCAACUGUAAAUAAAGAGAUGGGAAGGAUAGAACCAGUGAGCUUGGUGAAGACAAAGGUUUGGUAGACCAGUUCCAACUGCGGUGACAGUUGUACGUCUGGUUAGGGCGGCUAGGUAUUUAAACCUGAGGACACACAGUCUGGGACACCCAGUCCUGGACACGCAGCUCAGGACACUCAGUCCUCACCGUAUUCCCCUUGAGCUAAGGUCACACAGACCUCGCCCAAUCACUCUGGUAAGUCUUCAAGGUAGACUUCCAAACCUUCACAGACUUUGUUCACCGGCGAUCCACAAUGACUCUUGGAUGCUCAGAACGUGACGCCUAACCGGCUGGAGGAUUCACAGUUCUCAAGUGUAAUAAGUCUUCAGAUCACACAGACAGGAAGACUUCAGUGAUGCCUAACACUCUUUGGCUCUGGGUGGUUAGGGCUUUAUCCUUGCAAGGAAUUCUCUCUCAAAGGCUUCGAGGUGGGUUGCUCUCAAACGACAAAAGCCGUACUCUAACUCUGAGCAGCCAACCGUUUAUGGUUGUAGGGGGUGGGCUAUUUAUAGCCACUGGGCAACCCGACCUGGUUUGUCCGAAAUGACCCUUGGUCACUAAGGAACUGACACAUGUUCCAACGGUUAGAUUUCAAACACACAUGGCAACUUUACUUGGACUACAAGCAAAGCUGACUUAUCCAACUCUAAACAAGAUUUGCUCUCAUAGUCUUCACUCGAAGACAUAGGAUUUUGGUUAAGCAUCACUUCAGUCAUUCUGACUAGUUCUCUUGGACCCCACUUAACAGUACGGUGGUUCCUAUGACUCAACAAAGAAAAACACAGAACGACGAAACUGCUAAGUCUUCGCACUCCAUAGUCUUCACGCGAUGUCUUCUCUUAUCAUAGUCUUCAAUGUGAAUGUCUUCACAUACCACCUCUGACUUCAAUGUCUUCAUACAUUUUAGGGGUCAUCUCUGGUAGGAAAACCGAAUCAAUGAGGGACUUCUACCUGUGUUAUCCUGCAAUUCUCACAAACACAUUAGUCCCUCAACUAGGUUUGUCGUCAAUACUCCAAAACCAACUAGGGGUGGCACUAGAUGCACUUACAAUCUCCCCCUUUUUGGUGAUUGAUGACAAACUAGUUGAAGUUUUCAACGGGGAAUAUAAUAUGUGAAAUUGUAAAGGAUAGGGGAUUGUCUUCAUAAGUUGCAAGGGCUCCCCCUGAAGAUGUGCAUAUAAGUAAUUUGCUUUUGGAAUGCAAAUGCACAUGGCAGGUUGUACUUGUGGAGAUCCUCUUCAACUUAUGAUGACAAUUCAUUAUGCAAGAUAUGACGUGACGAAGAUGAUGAUAUGCAUAAUGAAAAAUGGACGUCUGCAAAAUGAUCUAAGUGCGGAAAUUAUCGUCGCACAUGCGGAAUUUAUCAUCGCAUCACAGAAUAGCAAAUAAGUAGCAGACGGCCAUCGAAUUUGAGUGUUACAACUCAAAGAACCAAAUGUAUCAAGACGUGAGAGUUGUAAACACUAGGCAAAAUAUAAAACUACCGCCCAUAUGAACCCGCUUGAAGACUAUCAAACUCAUAUGCUUCUCCCCCUUUUGUCAGUAAGGACCAAAAAGGUUUGAAGACAUAGAGCACCUACUCGUCCCCGUGAGGAGUUGGUGAAGCAGCAGGGUCUUCGGUGUUGGUUGGAGGUGCAGACGAACUCGGUGCAGUGUUGAUUCGCGUUGAAGGUGGUGAAGUAGUGUCGUCUUCAUCAUCGAUGACACGUGCAUUCACUGUUGCAACAGAGGAGGAGAACUCAGAGUCUUCAAGAUACGGAGUACACCGCAGCACAGUCCUUCUUGGAGGUGUUGAGUCAAACUUGAAGCGUUCAGAGAAGCCAUCCUCUUGAAGAUCAUCUUCGGAACACAUAAGCGUCAGCCCUUUCCAUGUACGCCGACAAGUUUCAUGGGCAACAAAGGCAUUCUUGGUGGCAAGGUUGCGAAUCCUGUUUACGUCCACCAAGAGGCUUUGCAUUUGGCGCUUCAGCCAGUCAUGAUGCUUAUCCUGUUUCUGAUGAAGGGCAACCAGAAGUUCUCGGUCGUUGAGAACACAAGAUCGCUUCUUGGGCCGUUGGGCAAUGGUGCUUUCAGUUGCUUCAGUGAGGGCACGAUGAGCUGCACGGGUAGUACCAGCCAGAGGAUAAACACGAGCGACUGCUGGAUCUCCGUCAAUGUGUUGUGAGAAACUUUGCUUAUCAGCAUUCUGAAGACUAAGGGGCUCCUUGGCAGGCUCUGGAUAGAUGGCUUCAACUGACAUAUCAACGUCAGGCAUAAAGAUCCGAUGAUUGCGAGCAGAAGGCUGAUAGGUGACAACUGAGUGUAGUUUGAUCAGCUGCAUAAUCCAUGGAGCGUAAAACUUCAAGCCAAAGAGAUCAGAUCCUGAUGCAGUGGCGGAUGAAGAAGUCUUGUGCAUUGAAGCAUUUGCCGUGAAGAAUAUGGAAGACCAAAGUCUUCAUUGCACCUUCCAGCUUUGCAUGUGAAGAAUGUCCUUUGAUGGGCCAGAGAGUUCGCCUUAUAAUGUGAUAGAUAGUGCGUGGCAGAUACUCAAGGUCUUCAACAAAGAACUCCUUAGGAUAUGCAACAUCUGGAGGCAAAGGCUUCAUCAUGCUAAGCAUCUGACUCAUGUUUGGUUCAGGAUUGUGAAAAAUGCUCUCCAUAGCUGCACUGUGAAGCUGACAACCAGGUUCAUAAAGAUCUCCUGGAGUGGGCAGACCAGUGAGCUCAAUGAUAUCAAAGGCUUUGGCUUCAUGAUGAACAUUUCCUGUCAUCCACUCAAGUACCCAAGUCUUCAGAUCUCUGUUGUAGCCACGAAUAUGAAGAGUGGCAUAGAAUUGGAGCAGCAAUUCUUCGUUCCAGUGCUCCUUGUUAGUGACGAACGACAAUAAUCCAGACUCUCUGAAGCAAUCCAGAGCUUCUUCCAAACAAGGCAGACCAGUUAUGGCUUCAGUAUCAAGACGCAUAUGUGGGAAAAUGCAACCUUGAUUGUACAAAAUGCAUGAGUAAUAACUGCGCUGCUGAUAGCUCCAGAACUGAUCAGAAGAUAUUCUUGCAUUGGUGUAGGGGUUCUUGGGCUAUCAAAGAAGGUGUUGUGUGCCUUGAAGCCAUUGAUAUUAAAAGAUCUGGGUGCAGAUGCAGUACCUAGAAACCUGGGAAACCUUGGCAUUGGCUUCUGAACUUGAGGCCUGUGCUCAACGUGAUAGUCAAACUGAGGACCAGCAGCAGGCGGAGGAGUCAGAAAAGGCCAUUUGACAGUGAUAAGUUGGCCAUAGUUGAAUGUUUGCUCGAUAAUGUGUGGCCUUGGUGGCGGAAUAGGAGCAGUGGCAUCAACAGAGGCGUCAGGCUGCACAUCUGUUGCAGGUGCAUCAUUGGCUUCAUUGGCCUCUGGCACAGUGUUAGGUGCAGGCUCCACAAUGUCUUCAGCCAUGACCACGUCAUUGGCUUCAGUGGUGUUAGUGGUGGCAGCCUCAGGAUUCUCAACCUCCACUUCAAAAGCUGGAGGGUCGGUCACGUUCUCCUCGAGAACAACAUCUUGGUGAGACGGGGGUGUAGCAACUCUUGGGGCUUCUUCUUCAUCGGCUGAUGCAGCCGGAACAUCUUCAGCCAUUUUGGCUUCGGAUUCAGACACAUGCAUUAUGGGAGUGACUUGGGGCCUUGGUCCUUUGCGAAGCCUGCGUAAUACGUGCGACGCUUGUGGAGAUGGAGUGUGCUGGGCCUCAUAGUCAUCAUCAUCUUGCACUGUUGGGGUAGCUUGCAGUUGGGGAGAGCUUGGAGUGUCUUGUCUCUAUGGUGAUCAGCCCACGAUGCAUCCUGAGCAGUUGGCGUCAGAGGACGACCAAUGCUGAUGAGUUUGCUGUGUGUGAGCACAGGCGAUGAUACCAGUUGGUGCUUGAUCUGAGGAAGGACUUCAUCAUCUUCAACAUUGUCAUGGUGACCAAUGUCUUCAGCAGCGAUGGGGUCAACUGUUGGAAUGUCUUCAACUUCAGGAGCCUCUAUGGAAGCAGGCUCAUGAACUACUAUCCGUCGUUCUUGAUGCGAGGAAUCAGGGCGAGCAACAGAGAUGGGUUCUACAACAAGGAGCUCUGUGGGAGCAGCCCGAUCUUUCUUGGUUCUGCUCUUCUUCUUGAAGGGAGCGACAUCAGAAGCAUCAGGAUUUUUCCUCUUUCUGGCUUCAGCCUCGAUAGUCCUCGUCUUCUUCAGUUCUGAAGUGGUUGACCGGACCUUUGGCUUCGAGCCAGUCAUGUUGCUUGGAAAUACUAUGCGUGGCUCUUCCCGCCUUGAAGGUGCAGAUUGGUCUGUUGAUGGCUUCUUCUCCUUUGCAGCCAUUCUUGGGUCGAUGCCAGGAUGACCAAGAGCCUUGCGCUUCUCAGCCUCAUUGUAAGCUUGCACACACUUGUCAGCCAGGCUCUUCAUGCGCUCACGAGAACCUUUAACUUCUUCACGCUUCUUGAGAAAGGCUUCCUUGAGCUCGUGCAGCAUAAUCUUGAGGUUUUUCACAUCUUGCAUGCUGAGCUUGGCCAUGUGCUUCUUGAACUAAGCUUUCUCAUAGUCGAUCUUUUGCUUUAGUUCAACAAUGCGCUGAGCUAGAGCUAGCUCAGAAGCAAUGGCGCCAGUGAAGGCGACACUAAGGCCAAUUGGAAGUUGCAGAUCUUCAAAGCUGAGGUUGGGCGUGUCAAACCACUCAUCAAUGAAGUUAUGGAUGAUUGCCACAUCAAAGAGAGGCAAAUUAUUGAAGAUCUCUGCUUCUUCCUUGCUCUUGAUCAGUUGCUCAAGAGCGUCAUCUGCAAGAUCUUCAUCGCUGGAUAGAUCAAUGGCGUCAUUGCGCAGAAUAGCAGCAGCAGUCAGUGCCUGAUCAGUACUCUUUCUCAUCUUAGUCUUCUUGGAGAUACGUGAUAGAUCUUCGGACUGCACACUGUCUUCAGGAGGUGCAGUAGCCAGUGGCUUCGCACGUGAAGCUUUUGGAGGAGCAGCUGACUUUGAAGCUUUAGCCUUCUUCUGCUUCUACGGCUUUGUAGUAGGAGCUGGGGCUUCAUCAGUGUCGGCAUCAUCAUCAGAAUGAUCCACUUUGGCACCUUGAAUAGAAAUGUGAGUGAUAAGGCCAUCAAGGUUGUAGAAAGGUCCGAUGAUAUUGGGUUCAGCAUCGCAUGUGCCGUCAGCCUGGGGAGCAGAAGGACCAGGGUUGAAGUCUAGUCCCAAUGACUUCUUGUUUUCCUUGGCCGAUGCCUUUGCAUGCUGGAAGUUGCGCUUGAAGAGAUUAUCAUCAUGACACCAGAGCAGUGAUGAUGGGUCGCCAUUUUCAGGCUGUGGUCCACGGACCAUACAAGGAUAGAAACCCCGAGCAAUAGCUUCAGCUCUGGUCUUGGGUGGAAGGCUUCGGAAGAGAAUGUCACCCCAAGGACUCUUGAUGACAUUCUUCUCAGCAUACUCCUGGGUCACAAACUUGUAUUUAAACCAUUGUUCGGCCCAAUAUCUCCGAAUCCAUUGGAUUCGUGUCUUGCGCUGAUUGUAAUCCUCCUCUGGAUCUAUCUUGUACAACUCUAAGAGGUCAUCAGGCAGAUCUCUUGAUGUUCUGCCUCAACGCUGUCUGCCACCCUUCCUUGCUGAUUUCUCUGUAGCCAUGAACUUUAAACUGAAAGGCUUCAAAGGCUUCCGCUUUCUGGUCAAACAGGAACUGGCUUCGGGAGAGUUAAUGUGAUGCUGUAAGAAUUUUGCAAACGAAUGCAAACUAUGAGAACCAAGGGAUUCUUCCACGGACAUGUACCUGUGACAGCAUUAAGGUGCGAGGGAAGGGGAAGAGGUCAUAUGCAUUCUCAGAAGAUUUUGAAGAUAUAUCUGUUUAGAAGACAUAGCCUCAUCGUGCGAAGACAUUCACUCAUAGAUAAAGAGUUGGUUCCAGAUUUGUACGAAUCCAUGAAUAAGUACAAGUGAGGAAUCUAACUACUUUGUGAAGCAUAAGUGAACAUACUAGGCAUAUUAUGAUAUGCAGUAUGAAAUAGAUCCAACUUGUGUGAACAAAAACUGCUUGUGGUAGAAAGUAAUGAAUCUAUAGGAUCAAAGGGGCCAUAAAAAGGAAGUUUUAUUUACCACACAAAGAAUUGCUAGACGGACUGGGAGAGGAGGCCGAGCAGUUCGAUCGUCCGUGCCCUAACUUGGCGACGGAGGACACCUACGGCGACGGCGGAGAAGAUGAUGUCCGCGGCCGGCGUGAAGACGGCGUCGGUGAGGUCGCGGUAGCUAAGCGCUUCGUCGCCGGCAUCGUCGAGGGCUAGCGGUGGCGCUAGGGUUUGUGCGAGAGUGGAAGAAAGGAUAAUGACUGUGGUGAGGCGUGUAUUUAUAGGGACAGGGACGGCAUAGUGUUAUUACACAGGUGCCCCUGGCGAUUCACAUCUGAAGGGCACGUGGCUAUCAUGCAACAUAUCGGAGGUUGUUCCAUGUUCCCACGCACGCCUGGAUUGUCGGGUGGUCGUUUCCACUUCUCCGGGUUUCAGGUGAAAGGACUUAGCAUUGAAAACAGACUUAAUGUUUGUCUUUGUAUCUUCUGCUGACAAGGACGCAGAGAAAGUUGUAAGUGCAUCUAGUGCCACCCCUAGUUGGUUUUGGAGAAUUGACGACAAACCUAGUUGAGGGACUAAUGUGUUUGUGAGAAUUGCAGGAUAACACAAGGUAGAAGUCCCUCAUUGAUUCGGUUUUCCUACCAGAGAUGACCCCUAAAAAUGUAUGAAGACAUUGAAGUCAAAGGUGGUAUAUGAAGAUAUUCACAUUGAAGACUAUGACAAGAGAAGACACCACAUGAAGCUUAUGGAGCUCGAAGACUUAGAUCUUUCGUAGUUCUUUUUCUUUUGUGUUGAGUCAUAGGAACCACCGUACUGUUAAGUGGGGUCCAAGAGAACCAGUCAGACUGACUGAAGUGAUGCUUAACCAAAUAACCUAUGUCUUUGAGUGAAGACUAUGAGAGCGAAUCUUGUCCAGAGUCGGACAAGUCAGCUUUGCUUGUAGCCCAAGUAAAGUUGGCGUGUGAGUUUGAAAUCUGACCGUUGGAACACGUGUCAGUUCCUUAGUGACCCAGGGUCAUUUCGGACAAAUCAGGUCGGGUUGCCAAGUGGCUAUAAAUAGCCCACCCCCACAACCAUAAACGGUUGGCUGCUCAGAUUGAGAGUACGGCUUUUGUCGUUUGAGAGCAACCCACCUCGAAGCCUUUGAGAGAGAAUUCCUUGCGAGGAUAAAGCCCUAACCACCCAGAGCCAGAGAGAAUUGGGCAUCACUUAAGUCUUCUUGUCUGUGUGAUCUGAAGACUUAUUACACUUGAGGACUGUGCAUCCUCCAGCCGUUAGGCGUCGCGUUCUGAGCAUCCAAGAGACAUUGUGGAUUGCCGGUGAACGAAGUCUGUGAAGGUUUGGGAGUCUACCUUGAAGACUUACCAGAGUGAUUGGGCGAGGUCUGUGUGACCUUAGCUCAAGGGGAAUACGGUGAGGACUGGGUGUCCUGAGCUGCGUGUUCAGGACUGGGUGCCCGGGACUGUGUGUCCUAAGGUUUAAAUACCUAGCCGCCCCAACCAGACGUACAGUUGUCACAGCAACUGGAACUGGUCCAACAAAUCAUUGUCUUCAACGAGUCACUGGUUUCAUCUUCCCUUCCCUUUACUCACUGUUGCUCCUUGUGAAGUCAUUGUAUGUUUGCACUAUCUUUUGUCUUCACUGAGUGACUGCAUGCUCUGUAUGGCUUCAUAAUAUCUUCCUACCUGAUCCUUACUACAUUGCUGCUAUUAAGUCAUUGUGCUUUCACUUCAUUGAACACUUGACUAUGGCUUGCCUAGUGUAGUCUACCUUCCGCUGCAUGGUAAUAGGUUUAUUUCUAUCGUUUGUCUUCAUAACUUCCAUGUUUUGAAGACUUUCAUAAAAAUCGCCUAUUCACCCCCCCUCUAGUCGAUAUAACGCACUUUCAAUUGGUAUCAGAGAAAGGUGCUCCCUUGUUCUGUGUGAUUCGGUUUAACCACCUGGAGUUUUAGCUAUGUCGACUGCAGGGAUAAUUAAAGUCUCCGAUGCAUGCCCCGUCUUCGAUGGAACUGAAUAUCCCUACUGGAAGAAUAAGAUGCGCAUGCAUCUUGAAGCCAUUGAUGUCGACCUAUGGUAUGUCGUCGAAAACGGCGUUCCUAAGGCUGGAGAAGGUGUCACUGCUGCUGACAUCAAGAAAUUUGUUCAACUGGACUCUACUGCCAAGAAUAUCAUCUAUGGUCACCUGACCAAAGGACAGUAUGGCCGUGUGAGUGCUUUGAAGACAUCUAAGCUAGUCUGGGACUGGCUCUCCAAGGUCAAUGAAGGCAUCUCAACCCAGAGAGAUCAGAGAAUCAGUGUCCUUCGCAACCUCUUCAACUGCUUCAAGCGAAAUGACAAUGAGAAUGUCCAGCACACUUUUGACCGACUCACUGACAUCACAAAUGAGCUUCAAGCCCUCGGCGCUACUGAGAUCACCAAACAUGAAGUUGUCAAGACACUACUGAGAUCACUUGAUAGUUCGUUUGACAUCCUAGCCCCGAUGAUUCAAGAACGUCCUGAUUUCAAGACACUCGAUCCAUCUGACAUACUUGAGAGGCUCAACACACAUGAGUUUCAGCUUUCUGAAAAAAGAGAUAUCUACGGUCCAAACUAUGGGCGAACUCCUGCCUUGAAGGCAAAAGCUAUCUCCUCAUCUGAAGAAGAAUCUGACAGCAGUUCUGAUGAUCCUGAAGAUGUUGGAAGAGAACUUGCUAUGCUUGUGAAGAAGUUCCAAAAAUUCACCAAGAAGAAAGGCUUCAGAAAGUCUUCCCGAUCAAGCUCAAGGAAUGAUGAAGCUUCUGCUCACGACUACAAGAAGAAAACAUGUCAUAAGUGCAAGAAACCUGGCCACUUCAUCUCUGAGUGUCCACGGUGGGACAAUGAGAACAAAAAGAAGAAGAAGAGCAAGGAAUAUGACUCUGACGACAAGAAGAAGAAGAAAUACUCAAAGUCUUCGUCCAAGUCUUCCUCAAAGUCUUCAUCACACAAGAAGAGCUCAUCUGGCAAGGCACGUGCGUUUGUUGGCAAGGAAAUGGACUCGGAGGAGGAGUCCGCUUCUGAGGAGGCGGAGGUGGAGUCUGAGGAGGAGUUCGAUUCAGGCGUCGCAAGUCUGGCUACAGCAUACGUUGCCAAGUCCAUCUUCAAUACUGAAGACAAUGACCUCGUCACCGACACCGAUGCAAAUGACAAGGACUACUCCGCUUCUACCUACUGCUUCAUGGCUCGCGGUGACAAGGUAAACACACGCACUACUCACUAUCAAACAUCUAGUGACGAUGACUCUGAUUGUGAUUCAAAACCCAGCUACAAAACACUUGCUAAAAUUGCAACUGAACAGCAGAAAGCUAUGGAACAUAUUCAAAAACUGUUAGACAGAAGCGAUGAUCUGUUAGGUGCUGAAAUGACUCGAUCUGAAUCCUUAAUUGAAGACAUAAAAAAUCUUCACGUUAAGUAUCAGGAACUUGAAAGUCAUCAUGAAACUCUCUCAACAACUCAUGAAAAGCUUUCCUAUGAUCAUCUUCAAAGGAAGCAAGAUCUUGAGAAAUUGAGAGCGGUUCAUGAAGAUCUUCAAAAGGAAAACGAGUCACUUCACUCCUAACAGAUCAUUCCCGCUCAGGAAGGAUUUGAACCACCAUGUCUUAAAUGCAUUGAGCGUGAUAAUGCUACUUCUGUUGCUAAAUGUUCUACUGCUACUACUGUUGCAAUAUCUUCAACUGUUGAUGUGGUAACUAAGCCCUCUGCUGAGGAUACCACUGCUAUUGCUGAUGAGAAUGCUAGGUUGAAGACAUUGCUUGAAACAGGGAUGUACAAAAGUGUUAAAGGGCAUCAGACACUAUGAGAUGUCCUCAAAAAGCAGAUUCUGAACCGAAACCCGAGGAAAGAGGGUGUUGGGUUCGUAAGGAAAAUGAAUGCUGAUGGCUCUUACUGGAAACCUGAGCAGUACCCCAAAACCAUGUGGGUUGCUGCAAAGGAACCUUCAGCAGACCCAUCCAAUCUAUCUGGCUUCACCUGUGCUAACCCCAUUAUCAUUGAUGAAUCCUUUGAUGCAAACUAUAUACUGUUUAAGAAUCAGAAUGGUGAAGUGUUUGCGAGGUACAUUGGUACUAACUGCAGGAAUGGACCACCUAUGAAGAAGAUCUGGGUUCCGAAAAGGUGUCUGGAGAAUCUUCCUGUGAAUGUCAUCAUGACACCUCAUGUGAAGAAGACAAACCUCAGACCAAAGGCUUCAUACGGUCCAAAGGCUUCAUACAGAUAGAGGACUCACCUGAGUCGCACUAACGCAAAUGUUUUGCAGGGAAACCAUACUCAGGCAUAUGAAUAUGAGAGUGGUUCAUCAAACCGCCAUGUUCAUAAGACCAAGAACUAUUCUGCUUAUUCUUAUGAGUACUAUUGUCCGCCUGCAAGACUGUUUGCUAGGGCUCCAAAGCCAAAAUUCUCAGAUGCUGCACUUAGACUUAUUGCUUCUCAGCCACCCUUGAAGAUGUGGGUGGCUAAAAAAGCUUAACUCUCUUUUGCAGGGAAAGGUCUCCAGCAGAAAACCAAAAUCGUCUGACGCCAUUGCUGGGGACCUUAAACAUCUUGUAGGGCGCAAGAUCAAAUGCCCAAAUGGUCUUACUAUGUACUUCGUUCCUGAAUCGCUUGCUACUCUCCCUAUUAGUCCUAAUCUGGCAUCGGAGGCUUGGGCAUGCUGGCAUGAGGAACCUCCACACCCUGGCAAAUAAGAAGCAUGUCAUAGGCAUCGAGGGCGUCAAGUUCAAGAAAGAUCACUUAUGCGGUGCCUGUGAGGCAGGAAAGAUGACGAGGGCCAAACAUCCUCGAAGACAAUCAUGACCACUACUCGACCCUUCGAACUGCUUCACAUGGAUCUUUUUGGUCCCACUCAUUACUCAACUCUUACUACUACUGCAUGCCUCUAUGGCUUCGUUAUUGUUGAUGAUUACUCUAGAUACACUUGGGUGCACAUAAUCCUUUACAAGACUGAAGUGCAGGAUGUCUUCAGACGCUUCGCAAAUCGAGCUAUGAACAAUUAUGGCGCCAAGAUAAAGCACAUCAGAAGUGACAAUGGCACUGAAUUCAAGAACACUGGCCUUGAUACAUAUCUUGAUACCUUGGGCAUCACACAUGAAUUCUCAGCCCUGUACACGCCACAGCAGAAUGGCGUCGUCGAACGCAAGAACAGAACACUCAUUGAGAUGGUCAGAACGAUGCUAGAUGAAUACAAGACCCCAAGAAAAUUCUGGCCUGAAGCCAUUGAUACUGCAUGCCAUACAAUCAAUCAUGUUUAUCUUCACAAGCUUCUGAACAAGACAUCCUAUGAGCUCCUUACUGGCAAGAAGCCAAAUGUCAGUUACUUCAGAGUAUUUGGCGCAAGGUGCUGGAUCAAGGACCCACAUCACACCUCAAAGUUUGCACCAAAAGCACAUGAGGGUUUUAUGCUUGGAUAUGGAAAGGAUUCGCACACCUACAGAGUCUUCAAUCUCUUUCAUUACAAAGUGGUUGAAACAGUGGAUGUGCGGUUCGAUGAGACCAAUGGUUCACAAAGAGAGCAACUGCCAACUGUGCUAGAUGAAGUUCCAUCCAGUGAAUCAAUCAAGCUAAUGGGAAAUGGAGAAAUUAUACCUUCUAAAGCUCAUCCUGAAGAAGAACUUAUCAUCUCAGCACCUGAUCAACAUGAAGACAAUGCUCAGCCUGAAGACAUUCCUUCUAACAACGACAAUGAUGAGCAAGAGCAAAGUCUUCACCCUGUACAUCCUCGCAUUGCCAAUGAAGUGCAGAUUGAAAGAAUAAUUGAUAGCAUCAAUGCACCCGGUCCACUCACUCGUUCAAGGGCAACUCAGCUAGCAAAUUUUUGUGGGCACUUCGCAUUCGUCUCAAUAACAGAACCCAAGAAAGUUGAAGAAGCCUUCAUGGAACCUGAAUGGAUUCAAGCUAUGCAAGAAGAGCUUCAACAGUUUGAGCUGAAUAAUGUAUGGGAACUAGUUAAGCGUCCUGAUCCACGGAAGCACAAUAUAAUAGGCACCAAAUGGAUAUACCGCAACAAGCAAGAUGAGCAUGGUCAAGUUGUCAGAAACAAAGCUCGUCUCGUUGCUCAAGGAUAUACUCAAGUGGAAGGCAUUGACUUCGAUGAAACAUUUGCUCCUGUGGCUAGACUUGAAGCCAUACGCAUACUGCUGGCCUAUGCAAAUCGUCACAACAUACUUCUAUAUCAAAUGGAUGUGAAGAGUGCUUUUCUCAAUGGCAAGGUUGAAGAAGAAGUGUAUGUUGCACAACCGCCUGGCUUUGAAAAUCCAAAACAUCCUGACAUGGUAUACAAGCUCAACAAGGCACUGUAUGGCCUCAAACAAGCCCCUCGGGCCUGGUAUGACACACUCAAAUACGUCCUGAAGAGCAAAGGCUUCAUACCUGGUUCCCUAGACCCCACUCUCUUCACGAAGACAUAUGAUGGUGAACUGUUUGUGUGCCAAAUAUAUGUGGAUGACAUUAUCUUCGGCUGCACCAAUCAGAAGUACAGUGAAGAGUUUGGAUAUAUGAUGCAAGAGCAAUAUCAGAUGUCCAUGAUGGGAGAGCUGAAGUUCUUCCUCGGUCUUCAAAUACGACAACAACGCAACGACAUCUUCAUAUCUCAAGAGAAGUAUCUCAAAGAUUGCCUGAAGAAGUUCGGUAUGCAAGACUGCAAAGGCUUCACAACACCAAUGCCAGCCAAACAUCAUCUGGGUCCCGACGACAAUGGUAAAGAGUUCGAUCAAAAGGUAUACCGCUCCAUGAUUGGUUCUUUACUUUAUCUAUGUGCAUCUAGGCCAGAUAUUAUGCUUAGUGUUUGCAUGUGUGCUCGAUUUCAAGCGGCACCAAAGGAGUCGCAUCACUUAGCUGUGAAGCGAAUUCUUCGAUAUUUGGCUCACACCCCAACUCUAGGAUUAUGGUAUCCAAAGGGCUCAGAGUUUGAUCUGGUUAGAUUCUCGGAUGCUGAUUAUGCUGGUGACAAAGUUGAUCGAAAGUCUACAUCAGGCACAUGUCACUUUCUGGGACGAUCACUUGUAUGUUGGUAUUCAAAGAAGCAGAACUGUGUAUCUCUCUCCACUGCUGAAUCUGAAUACAUUGCUGUUGGAUCUUGCUGCGCUCAACUUCUGUGGAUGAAGCAAACACUCAAGGACUAUGGCAUUCAUCUGAAGCAAGUGCCACUUUACUGCGACAAUGAAAGCGCCAUCAAGAUCGCCAACAACCCAGUUCAUCACUCGAAGACAAAGCACAUUGAAAUUCAUCAUCACUUUCUCAGAGAUCAUGUUGUGAAGGAAGGUAUUGAUGUCAUACACGUCAACACUGAAGAGCAAUUGGCAGAUAUCUUCACCAAGCCCUUGGAUGAGAAGAGAUUUUGCAAGUUACGGUGUGAGCUAAAUAUCCUGGAAUGCUCAAAUGUCCUGUGAUUAGGCACACAUCCUAACCCUUAUGCAUAUUGAUGACUUAGAUGUGCAACACACGAAGUAAAGUAUAUCUUCAAUCAAUGAUGACAUACAUUCUAAGUAUGAAUACAUUAAUGUGGAAUUUGACUUCGGAGUGCCACGAUAAUUGUGCGCCGUGUUUGGGUCUAAUACUUCCUAUACGGUGGCUAACGCCACCACCAAAUGUUCUAUUUUGAAGUGUUUCACUCAUGGCGUUACCUUGCAAUGUCUUCACAUUUGGUUUGGCUUCGAUCUCAACAUAUCUUCAUGAUUAUCUUCACUAUGUUGAUUAUAUAUAUAUAUAUAUAUAUAUAUAUAUAUAUAUAUUAGUGUUCUAUCCUCUACAGCAUUCACUUAUAGCUAUGUCUUCAUUGUUGAAUCUUUUGAACUAAGUGAAUGUGAUCGGACCCUAACCUCUCUAUGCUUUCUAUCUCAAAUUCAAUCUCUCCAAAUCAUAUGCAUUCUAUUGAAACUGUCGAAUGUCUUCUCUGCGUCCUUGUCAGCAGAAGAUACAGAGACAACCAUUAAGUCCAUUUUCAAUGCUCAUUCCUCCACAUGAAGUAGGAACGACCACCCGACAAUCAAGGCAUGCGUGGGACGUGGAACAAACCCCAAAAUUCUGCAUAAUGGCCACGCGUUCCUCAGAUGCGAAUCGCCAGGGGCACCUGUGUAAUAGCGCAAUGCCGCCCAUGUACCUAUAAAUACACACUUCACAGCGGUCAUUAUCUCUUCUUCCACUCCCGCAUGAACCCUAGCGCCACCGCUAGCCCUCGACGACGCCGGCGACGAAGCGCUUCGCUGCCGCAACCUCUCCUACGUUGUCUUCACGCCGACCGCGGACAUCGUCCUCUCCGCCGUCGCCGUAGGUGUCCUCCGUCGCCAAGUUAGGGCACGGAAGAUCGAACUGCUCGGCCUCAUCUUCCACUUCGUCUAGCAGUUCUUAGUGUGGUAAAUAAAACUUCCUUUUUACAGCACCAUUGAUCCUAUGGAUUUGUCACUUUCUACCACAAGCAGUUUCUAUUCACACAAGUUAGAUCUCUCUCAUACUGCAUCUCAUAACAUGCCUAGUAUAUUCACUUAUGCUUCACAAAGUAGUUAGAUUCCUCACUUGUACUGAUCUGGAACCAACUCCUUAUCUAUGAGUGAAUGUCUUCGCAAAAUGAGGUCAAUGUCUUCUAAACUGAUUUAUCUUCAAAAUCUUCUGAGAAUGCAUAUGACCUCUUCCCCUUCCCUCGCACCUUAAUGCUGUCACAGGUACAUGUCCGUGGGAGAAUCCUUUGGUUCUCAUAGUCUGCAUUCAUUUGCAGAAUUCUUAUAGCAUCACAUUAAUUCUCCCGAAGCCAGUUCCUGUUGGUCCAGCAAGCGAAAACCUUUAAAGCAUUUGAACGUGUUGAAGCCUUUCAAGUUAAAUUUGAUGGCUUCAGAGAAAGCAGCAAGGAAGGGUGGCAGAAAGCGUCAUGGAGAAACAUCCAGAGAACUGCCAGAUGAACUCUCAGAACUGUACAAGACAGAUCCUGAAGAGGAUUACAAUCAGCGCAAGACCCGAAUCCAAUGGAUUCAAAGAUAUUGGGCAGAACAAUGGUUCAAAUACCGAUUUGUAACCCAGGAAUAUGCUGAGAAAAAUGCCAUCAAGAGACCGUGGGGAGACAUCCUAUACAAGAAUCUUCUGCCCAGGUCCAGAGAUGAAGCCAUUGAACAAGGCUUCUAUCCCUGCAUGGUCCGUGGGCCACAGCCUGCUGAUGCACACCCAUCGUCACUACUAUGGUGUCGUGAUGACAAUCUGUUCAAGCGCAACUUCCAGUUUGCCCAAAACUCAGCGAAGCAGAACAAGAAGACUUUGGGGUUAGACUUCAACCCUGGUCCCUCAGCACCAAGGGCAGAUGGCACACGAGAUGCAGAACCCAAUGUCAUCGGUCCUUUCUACAACCUUGAGGGCCUCAUCACCCGCAUCUUAGUUCAAGGGACUGCAGUGAAUGAGCCUGCAGCUGACGCUGAAUCAGAAGAAGCUCCUGCAGCGCCGAAGACAAAGAAGAUGAAGAAGCCUAAAGCUUCAAAGCCUGCCCCCUCACCAAAAAUCUCAAGGGCGAAGCCACUGGCAACUGCACCUCCUGAAGACAGUGUGCAGUCCGAAGACUUAUCUCGCAUCUCCAAGCCCCAGAAAGUCAAGAUGCCUCUGCCUCACACCGGACAAGAGCUAACCGCUACUGCCAUUCUGCGCAAUGACGACAUUGAUCUGUCAAGUGAUGAAGAUCUAGCAGAUGACGCUCUUGAGCAACUCAUCAAGAGCAAAGAAGAAGCAGAAAUCUUCAAUGAUCUGCCUCUCUUUGAUGUGACCAUCAUCCACAACUUCAUUGAUGAGUGGUUUGACACGCCAAACAUCAGCUUUGAAGAUCUGCAGCUACCAAUUGGCCUCAGUGUCGCCUUCCAAGGCGCCAUUGCUUGAGAACUCGCUAUUGCCCAGCGCAUUGUUGAACUGAAGCAAAAGAUUGACUAUGAAAAGGCCCAGUUCAAGGAGCAUAUGGCCAAGCUCAGCGUGCAGGAAGUGAAGAACUUCAAGAGUAUGAUGCACGAGCUCAAGGAAGCCUUUGUAAAGAAACGUGCAGAAGCUCAGGGUUCGCGUGAGCGCAUGAAGACUCUGACUGACAAAUGUGUGCAAGCCUACAAUGAGGCUGAGAAGCGCAAGGCCCUUGGGCGUCCUGGCAUCGACCCCAGGAUGGCCGCAAAGAAGAAGAAGCCUGCUACGACUGAACCUGACGCACCACGGCAGGAAGCAGUUCCGAUUGUCUUCCCAACUAGACUGACUGGCUCGAAGCCAAAAAGCCAGUCAACCGCUUCAGAGCUCAAGAAGACAAGGACUGCUGAGGCUGAAGCCAGGAAGAGGAAACAUUCUGAAGCCUCUCCAACUACCCCCUCCAAGAAGAAGAGGAAGACCAAGAAAGAUCGGGCUGCUUCCACAGAGCCCUUAAUAGUUGAACCCAUUUCUAUGGUCUAUCCUGAAGCUGAAUGCCAUGAACGCCAACUGACCAUCCAUGAGCCUGCUUCCACAGAGGCUCAUGAAGCUGAAGACUUUCUAGUAGCUGAUCCCAUCGCUGCUCAAGACAUUGGUCAACAUGACAUUGUAGAAGAUGGUGCAGUCCUUCCUCAGAACAACAAACUCAUCAGCAUUGGUUGUCCACUGACGCCAAUUGCACAGGAUGCUUCAUGGGCGGAUUGCCCACAAGAGGAAGAAGACUUUGAGGCCCAGCCCACUCCAACUCCACAGGCGUCGCCCGUGUUGCGCAGGCUUCGCAAAGGUCCAAGGCCUCAAGUCUCUGCUGAAGACAAUCUGGCUGCAUCAGCCGCGGAAGAAGAAGUCCCACAAGUUCCCACUCCCGUAUCCCACCAAGAAGCAGUUCUCAAGGAGAACGUGCUUAUGACCGACCCUCCAGCUCGUCAAGUGGAGGCUGAAAAUCUUGAGGCUGCCACAACCACCAAUGAAGCUAAUAUGGAGCCCUCCCAAACGGAAGAAGAAGACAGCGAAGCCAUUGAUCCCGUCACUUCUGUUCCCGAGUCUGCUGCCGGUCCAUAGUUCGACUAUCAUGUUGAGCACAGGCCUCAGGUACAGAAGCCAAUCCCAAGAUUGCCAAGGUUCCCAGGUCCUGCAUCAGCACCUGGCUCCUUCAAUAUCAAUGGCUCCAGGGCAGACAACACAUUCUUCGAUAGCUCCAGGAACCCCUACUCAAGGGAAAUGAUAUCAUCUGACCGGUUUUGGAGCUAUCCUCAGUGAAGCUAUUACUCAUGCAUUCUUUACAACCAAGGUCGCAUCUUCCCACACAAGCGCCUUGACAUUGAAGCCAUAGCUGGUCUGCCCUGUCUGGAAGAAGCUUUGGAUUGCUUCAAGGAAGUUGGACUGCUGUCGUUCGUUACUGACCAAGAGCAUUGGAAUGAAGAGCUGCUACUCCAAUUCUAUGCCACACUUCACAUCCGCGGGUACAGCAGAGAUCCGAAGACUUGGGUCCUGGAGUGGAUGACCGGAAAUGUUCAUCACAAAGCCAAAGCAUUUGACAUCAUUGAGCUCACUGGUUUGCCCACUCUUGGCGAUCUCUACGAGCAUGGCUGUCAGCUGCAUAGUGAAGCUAUUGAGAGCAUCUUUAAGAGGCCGGAACCUGAUAUGAGUCAGAUGCUCAGCAUGAUGAAGCCAUUGCCCCAAGAUGCUGCUUAUCCAACAGAGUUCUUCGUUGAAGACCUUGAGUAUCUGCCACGAACCAUCUAUCACAUCAUCAGGCGAACUCUCUGGCCCAUCAAAGGGCACUCUCCAAAUGCCAAGCUUGAGGGUGCAAUGAAGACUUUGGUCUUCUAUAUUCUUCAUGGAAAAUGCUUCAAUGCAUAGGACUUAUUCAUCCGCCAACUUGCUGCAUCGGGCUCUGAUCUGUUUGGCUUGAAGUUCUACGCCCCAUGGGUAAUGCGGCUAAUUAAACUUCACUCCGAUAUCUCAUAUCAGCCAUCUGCUCGCAAUCAUAAGAUUUUUCUGCCUGAUGUGGAUAUCUCUACUGAAGCCAUCUAUCCUGAGCCUGCAAAGGAACCUCUAAGUCUUCAGAAUGCAGAGCAUCAGAGUUUCUCACAGAACAUUGAAGGAGUUGAAGCAGUCACUUGGGUGUAUCCUUUGGCUGGCACUACACGUGCACCACACCCUGCGUUUACUGAAGCCACUGAUAGUACAACUGCUCCAAGACCCAAGAAGUGCACUCGUGUUCUCAACGACCGAGAGCUUCUUGUGGCUCUUCAUCAGAAACAGGAUAGGCAUCAUGAGUGGCUGAAGCAUCAGAUGAAAAGCCUCUUGGUGGAAGUUAAUCGCAUUCGCAAUCUUGCCACCAAGAAUGCUUUCGUUGCCCAUGAAACCUGUCGCCGUACAUGGACAGGGCUAACGAUAAUGUGUUCUGAAUAUGAUCUCCAAGAGGAUGGCUUCACUGAGCGAUUCAAGUUUGACUCCACACCUCCUCGAAGAGCUGUGCUGCUAGGAACUCCACCCCUUGAAGACUCUGAGUUCUCUUCAUCUGCUGCAACAGUGACUGCCAGAGUUAUCGAGGAUGAAGAUGAUGCUACUUCACCACCACCUCCUUCAGCACGCGUCAACUCUGCUCCAAGCUCUUCAGCACCGCCAAACACCACCAACGACCCUGCUACUUCACCUACUCCGCAUGGGAACGAGUAGAUGCUCUAUGUCUUCAAACCUUUUUGGUCCUUACUCACAAAAGGGGGAGAAGCAUAUGAGGUUGAUAGUCUUCAAGCGGUUCCAUAUGGGCGGGUGCUUUAUAUUUUGCUUCGUGCUUACAACUCUCGUUUUGCUACAUUUGGUUCUUUGAGUUGUAACACUUAAACUCGAUGGUUGUCUGCUACUUAUCUGCCACUUUGUUUUGCGAUGAUAAAUUCCGCAUGUGCGACGAUAAAUUCCGCACUUAGAUCAUUCUGCAGACAUUCAUUUUGCAUUAUGCAUGUCAUUAUCUUCAUAUACUUUCACAUGCAUAAUGGAUUGUCAUCAUAAGUUGAAGUGGAUCUCCACAAGUACAAUCUGCCAUGUGCAUUUGCAUUCCAAAAGCAAAUUACCUACAAGCCCUUCCAACUUAUGAAGACAAUUCCUUAUCCUUUACAAUUUCACAGAUUAUAUUCCCCGUUGAAAACUUCAACUAGUUUGUCAUCACUCACCAAAAAGGGGGAGAUUGUAAGUGCAUCUAGUGCCACCCCUAGUUGGUUUUGGAGUAUUGACGACAAACCUAGUUGAGGGACUAAUGUGUUUGUGAGAAUUGCAGGAUAACACAGGUAGAAGUCCCUCGUUGAUUCGGUUUUCCUACCAGAGAUGACCCCUAAAAAUGUAUGAAGACAUUGAAGUCAAAGGUGGUAUAUGAAGAUAUUCACAUUGAAGACUAUGACAAGAGAAGACACCACAUGAAGCCUAUGGAGCUCGAAGACUUAGAUCUUUCAUAGUUCUUUUUCUUUUGUGUUGAGUCAUAGGAACCACCGUACUAUUAAGUGGGGUCCAAGAGAACUAGUCAGACUGACUGAAGUGAUGCCUAACCAAAAAACCUAUGUCUUCGAGUGAAGACUAUGAGAGCGAAUCUUGUCCAGAGUCGGACAAGUCAGCUUUGCUUGUAGCCCAAGUAAAGUUGGCGUGUGAGUUUGAAAUCUGACCGUUGGAACACGUGUCAAUUCCUUAGUGACCCAGGGUCAUUUCGGACAAAUCAGGUCGGGUUGCCAAGUGGCUAUAAAUAGCCCACCCCCCACAACAAUAAACGGUUGGCUGCUCAGAUUGAGAGUACGGCUUUUGUCGUUUGAGAGCAACCCACCUCGAAGCCUUUGAGAGAGAAUUCCUUGCGAGGAUAAAGCCCUAACCACCUAGAGCCAGAGAGAAUUGGGCAUCACUUAAGUCUUCUUGUCUGUGUGAUCUGAAGACUUAUUACACUUGAGGACUGUGCAUCCUCCAGCCGGUUAGGCGUCGCAUUCUGAGCAUCCAAGAGACAUUGUGGAUUGCCGGUGAACGAAGUCUGUGAAGGUUUGGGAGUCUACCUUGAAGACUUGCCAGAGUGAUUGGGCGAGGUCUGCGUGACCUUAGCUCAAGGGGAAUACGUGAGGACUUGGUGUCCUGAGCUGCGUGUUCAGGACUGUGUGUCCGGGACUAUGUGUCCUAAGGUUUAAAUACCUAGCCGCCCCAACCAGACGUACAGUUGUCAUAGCAACUGGAAUUGGUCCAACAAAUCAUUGUCUUCAACGAGUCACUGGUUUCAUCUUCCCUUCCCUUUACUUACUGUUGCUCCUUGUGAAGUCAUUGUAUGUUUGCACUAUUUUUUGUCUUCACUGAGUGACUGCAUGCUCUGUAUGGCUUCAUAAUAUCUUCCUACCUGAUCCUUACUACAUUGCUGCUAUUAAGUCAUUGUGCUUUCACUUCAUUGAACACUUGACUAUGGCUUGCCUAGUGUAGUCUACCUUCCGCUGCAUGGUAAUAGGUUUAUUUCUAUCGUUUAUCUUCAUAACUUCCAUGUUUUGAAGACUUUCAUAAAAAUCGCCUAUUCACCCCCCCUCUAGUCGAUAUAACGCACUUUCAAAAGUGAUGACGCAUUUCAAUGUGCUUUGUCUUCGAGUGCUGAACUGGGUUGUUGGCAAUCUUGAUGGCGCUUUCAUUGUUGCAGUAGAGUGGCACUUGCUUCAGAUGAAUGCCAUAGUCUUUGAGUGUUUGCUUCAUCCAUAGAAGCUGAGCGCAGCAAGAUCCAGCAGCAAUGUAUUCAGAUUCAGCAGUGGAGAGAGAUACACAGUUCUGCUUCUUUGAAGACCAACAUACAAGUGAUCGUCCCAGAAAAUGACAUGUGCCUGAUGUAGACUUGCGAUCCACCUUGUCACCAGCAUAAUCAGCAUCCGAGAAUCCAACCAGAUCAAACUCUAAGCCCUUUGGAUACCAUAAUCCUAAUGUUGGGGUGUAAGGCAAAUAUCGAAGAAUUCGCUUCAUAGCUAAGUGAUGCAAUUCCUUUGGUGCCACUUGGAAUCGAGCACACAUGCAAACACUAAGCAUAAUAUGUGGCCUAGAUGCACAUAGAUAAAGUAAAGAACCAAUCAUGGAGCGGUAUACCUUUUGAUCGAACUCUUUACCAUUGUCGUCGGGACCCAGAUGAUGUUUGGCUGGCAUUGGCGUUGUGAAGCCUUUGCAGUCUUGCAUCCCAAAUUUCUGCAUGCAAUCUUUGAGGUACUUCUCUUGAGAUAUGAAGAUGCCGUUGCGUUGCUGACGUAUUUGAAGACCAAGGAAGAACUUCAGCUCACCCAUCAUGGACAUUUGAUAUUGCUCUUGCAUCAUAUAUCCAAACUCUUCACUGUAUUUCUGAUUGGUGCAGCCGAAGAUAAUGUCAUCCAUAUAUAUUUGGCACACAAACAGUUCACCAUCAUAUGUCUUCGUGAAGAGAGUGGGGUCGAGGGAACCAGGUUUGAAGCCUUUGCUCUUCAAGAAGUCUUUGAGUGUGUCAUACCAAGCCCGAGGGGCUUGUUUGAGGCCAUACAGUGCCUUGUUGAGCUUGUACACCAUGUCAAGAUGUUUUGGAUCUUCAAAGCCAGGCGGUUGUGCAACAUACACUUCUUCUUCAAUCUUGCCAUUGAGAAAAGCGCUUUUCACAUCCAUUUGAUAUAGAAGAAUGUUAUGAUGAUUUGCAUAGGCCAGCAGUAUGCGUAUGGGUUCAAGUCUAGACACAGGAGCAAAUGUUUCAUCGAAGUCAAUCCCUUCAACUUGAGUGUACCCUUGAGCAACGAGACGAGCUUUGUUUCUGACAACUUGACCAUGAUCAUCUUGCUUAUUGCGAUAUAUCCAUUUGGUUCCUAUUAUAUUGUGCUUGCGAGGAUUAGGACGCUUAACCAGUUCCCAUACAUUACUCAACUCAAACUGUUAAAGCUCUUCUUGCAUAGCUUGAAUCCAUUCAGGUUCCAUGAAGGCUUCUUCAACUUUCUCGGGUUUAGAUAUUGAGACGAAUGCGACGUGCCCACAGAAAUUUGCUAGCUGUGUUGCCCUCGAACGAGUGAGUGGACCUGGUGCACUGAUGCUAUCAAUUAUUCUCUCAAUUUGUACUUCAUUUGCAACAUGAGGAUGUACAGGACGAAGAUUUUGCUCUUGUUGAUCAUUGUCAUCGUUAGAAGGAUUGUCUUCAUGCUGAGCAUUGUCUUUAGUUUGAUCAGGUGCGGAGAUGAUAAGUUCCUCUUCAGGCUGAGAUUCAGAUGGUAUGAUUUCUCCAGUUCCCAUAAGUUUGAUUGAUUCACUGGAUGGAACUUCAUCUAGCACUUUUGGCAGGUGCUCUCUUUGUGAGCCGUUAGUCUCAUCGAACCGCACAUCCACUAUUUCAACCACUUUACAGUGAAAAAGGUUGAAGACUCUGUAGGAGUGCGAAUCCUUUCCAUAUCCAAGCAUAAAACCUUGAUGUGCUUUUGGUGCAAAUUUUGAAGUGUGAUGUGGAUCCUUGAUCCAGCACCUGGCACCAAAUACUCUGAAGUAACUGACAUUUGGCUUCUUGCCAGCAAGGAGCUCAUAGGAUGUCUUGUUGAGAAGCUUGUGAAGAUAAACACGGUUGAUGAUAUGGCAUGCAGUAUCAAUGGCUUCAGGCCAGAACUUUCUUGGAGUCUUGUAUUCAUCAAGCAUCGUCCAGGCCAUCUCAAUAAGUGUUCUAUUCUUGCGUUCCACGACGCCAUUCUACUGCGGUGUGUACGGAGCUGAGAAUUCAUGUGUAAUGCCCAGAGUAUCAAGAUAAGUGUCUAGACCAGUGUUCUUGAAUUCAGUGCCAUUGUCACUUCUGAUGUGCUUGAUCUUGACGCCAUAGUUGUUCAUGGUUCAAUUGGCGAAGCGUCUGAAGACAUCCUGCACUUCAGUCUUGUAGAGGAUUAUAUGCACCCAAGUAUAUCUUGAAUAAUCAUCAACAAUGACAAAGCCAUAGAGACAAGCAGUAGUAGUAAGAGUUGAGUAAUGAGUGGGACCAAAAAGGUCCAUGUGGAGUAGUUCGAAGGUUUGAGUCGUUGUCAUGAUUGUCUUCGAGGGAUGCUUGACCCUCGUCAUCUUUCCUGCUUCACAGGCACCGCAUAAGUGAUCCUUCUUGAACUUGACGCCCUCGAUGCCUAUGACAUGCUUCUUCCUUGCAAGGGUGUGGAGGUUCCUCAUGCCAGCAUGCCCUAGCCUCCGAUGCCAGAGCCAACAUUCAGAAGCUUUUGCUAGAAGACAUAUGGCAAGUUGUGGUCCUGCUGAGAAAUCUACCACGUACAAAUCAUCUUUCCGAUACCCUUGAAACACUAGAGACUUGUCAGAUUCCAUUAGAACAAGGCAACGAUAUUUUCCAAACAUCACAAUCAUGUUUAAAUCGCAAAGCAUUGAGACAGACAUUAAGUUGAAACCAAGGGAUUCAACAAGCAUGACUUUAUCCAUGUGUUGAUCCUUUGAGAUUGCAACUCUACCUAGAUCCAAUACCUUGCUUUUACCAGUGUCAGCAAAUGUGAUGUGACUUUUGUCAAAUGGACGUAAGGUUGAGUCCAUGAGAAGGCUUCGCUUGCCAGUCAUGUGAUUAGUACACCCACUAUGAAUAAUCCAUUCUGAAGCAGCUGGUGUCGUACCCUACAGUGCAGUUAGGGGGAUAGGCUUCACGAAGAGAAUUGUGAAGCAUAAACAUUUGACGAGCAAGUGGAUUAUGAAAGCUUAGAUCAAGGUUAGGACUGAUAGGGUAAGUAGCAAGCGACUCAGGAACAAAAUACAUAAUAAGACCAUUUGGGCAUUUGAUCUUGCGCCCUACAAGAUGUUUAAGGUCCCCAGCAAUAGCUUCAGACGAUUUUGGUUUUCAGCUGGAGACCUUUCCCUGCAAAAGAGAGUUAAGCUUUCUUAGCUACCCACAUCUUCAAGGGUGGCUUAGAAGUAAUGAGUCUAAGUGCAGCAUCUGAGAACUUUGGCUUUAGAGCCCCAGCAAAAAGUCUUGCAGGUGGACAAUAGUACUCAUAAGAAUAAGCAGAGUAGUUCUUGGUCUUAUGAACAUGGCGGUUUGAUGAAACGCGCUCAUAUUCAUAGGCCUGAGUAAGGUUUCCCUGCAAAAAAUUUGUGUUAGUGCGACUCAGGUGAGUCCUCUGUCUGUAUAAAACCUUUGGACCGUAUGAAGCCUAUGGUCUAGGGUUUGUCUUCUUCAUGUGUGGUGUCAUGAUGACAUUCACAGGAAGAUUCUCCAAACAUCUUUUCAGCAUCCAGACUUUCUUCAUAGGCGGCCCAUUCCUGCAGUUAGUACCAAUAUACCUGGCAAACACUUCACCAUUCUGAUUCUUAAAUAGUUUAUAGUUUUCAUCAAAGGAUUCAUCAAUAACAAUGGGAUUAUCACAAGUGAAGCCAGAUAGGGUGGAUGGAUCCACUGAAGGUUCCUUUGCAGCAACCCAUGUGGUUUUGGGUUACUGCUCAGAUUUCCAGUAAGAGCCAUCAGCAUUCAUUUUCCUUUUGAACCCGACACCCUCUUUCCUAGGGUUUCGGUUCAGGAUCUGCCUUUUGAGAACAUCACAUAGUGUCUGAUGCCCUUUGAGACUUUUGAACAUCCCUGUUUCAAGCAAUGUCUUCAACCUAGCAUUCUCAUCAGCAAUAGCAGUGGCAUCCUCAGCAGAGGGGUUAGUUACCACAUCAACAGUUGAAGAUAAUGCAACAGUAGCAGUAGUAGAACAUUUAGCAACAGAAGUAGCAUUAUCAUGCUCAAGGCAUUUAAGACAUGGUGGUUCAAAUCCUUCCUGAGCGGGACUGAUCUGUUCAGCGCGAAGUGACUCGUUUUCCUUUUGAAGAUCUUCAUGAGCCGCUCUCAAUUUCUCAAGUUCUUGCUUCCUUUGAAGAUAAUCAUAGGAAAGCUUUUCAUGAGUUGUUGAGAGCGUUACAUGACGACUUUCAAGUUCCUCAUACUUAACAUGAAGAUUUUUUAUGUCUUCAAUUAAGGACUGAGAUCGAGUCAUUUCAGCGUCCAACAGGUCAUCGCUUUUGUCUAACAGUUUUUGAAUAUGUUCCAUAGCUUUCUGUUGUUUAGUGGCAAGGGAAGCAAGUUUUGCAUAGCUGGGUCCAAAUUCAUCACCAGAUUCAUCAUCACUGGAUUCAGAUAGAUAGCAUUCAGUUACCUUAGCAUCUUUUGCCAUAAGGCAUGAUGUAGAAGAUGAUGAUUCUGGUUCGAAUGUCAUCGCUUUGAGAGAUUCCUUAAAGUCCUCAAACCAAGGAUCAUGACGAGUUUGAUGACCUUCAUAGACCUCAGAGAGACGGUCCCAGAUAAGCUUCGCAUGAUUGAGAUGCAUGAUAUUCCUGAACUGAUUUUGAGACAGACAGGAGCAGAUGACGUCCUUCGUCGUGAGGUUGAGAAGAGUGUACUUGCGAAUGUCAUCGGCUUCCGCCAUCUUGCACAGAUCAGUCAGACCAAUCUCAGUAAUGGUCCACAACUCGCUAUUUAUCGCCGUGAGGCGCUUCUUCAUCAUGGCCUUCCACUUGGGAUACUCAUGACCGUCAAAGAUGGGGCAUGAUACAGUCUUCAUUCCUGUGGUCUACAUAACUAAAACUCCAGGCGGUUAAACCAAAAUCACACAGAACAAGGGAGUACCUUGCUCUAAUACCAAUUGAAAGUGCGUUACAUCGACUAGAGGGGGGGGGUGAAUAGGCGAUUUUUAUGAAAGUCUUCAAAACAUGGGAGUUUUGAAGACAAACGAUAGAAAUGAACCUAUAACCAUGCAGCGGAAGGUAGACUACCCUAGAUAAGCCAUAGUCAAGUAUUCAAUGAAGUGAAAGCACAAAGACUAACAACAGCUAGGCAAUACGGAUCAGGAUGGAAGAUAAUAUGAAACCAAUCUGAACAAACACUCACACAGUGAAGACAAAUGGACAAUGCAAAUAGGCAAUGACUUCACAAGGACCAACUGUAAAUAAAGAGAUGGGAAUGAUAGAACCAGUGAGCUUGGUGAAGACAAAGGUUUGGUAGACCAGUUCCAACUAUGAUGACAGUUGUACGUCUGGUUAGGGCGGCUAGGUAUUUAAACCUGAGGACACACAGUCCCGGACACCCAGUCCUGAACAUGCAGCUCAGGACACUCAGUCCUCACCGUAUUCCCCUUGAGCUAAGGUCACACAGACCUCGCGCAAUCACUCUAGUAAGUCUUCAAGGUAGACUUCCAAACCUUCACAGACUUUGUUCACCGGCGAUCCACAAUGACUCUUGGAUGCUCAGAACGCGACGCCUAACCGGCUGGAGGAUUCACAGUUCUCAAGUGUAAUAAGUCUUCAGAUCACACAGACAGGAAGACUUCAGUGAUGCCUAACACUCUUUGGCUCUGGGUGGUUAGGGCUUUAUCCUCGCAAGGAAUUCUCUCUCAAAGGCUUAGAGGUGGGUUGCUCUCAAACGACAAAAGCCGUACUCUAACUCUAAGCAGCCAACCGUUUAUGGUUGUAGGGGGUGGGCUAUUUAUAGCCACUGGGCAACCUGACCUGGUUUGUCCGAAAUGACCCUUGGUCACUAAGGAACUGACACGUGUUCCAACGGUCAGAUUUCAAACACACAUGGCAACUUUACUUGGACUACAAGCAAAGCUGACUUAUCCAACUCUGGACAAGAUUUGCUCUCAUAGUCUUCACUCGAAGACAUAGGAUUUUGGUUAAGCAUCACUUCAGUCAUUCUGACUGGUUCUCUUGGACACCAUUUAACAGUACGGUGGUUCCUAUGACUCAACAAAGAAAAACACAGAACGACGAAACUGCUAAGUCUUCGCGCUCCAUAGUCUUCACGCGAUGUCUUCUCUUAUCAUAGUCUUCAAUGUGAAUGUCUUCACAUACCACCUCUGACUUCAAUGUUUUCAUACAUUUUUAGGGGUCAUCUCUGGUAGGAAAACCGAAUCAAUGAGGGACUUCUACCUGUGUUAUCCUGCAACUCUCACAAACACAUUAGUCCCUCAACUAGGUUUGUCGUCAAUACUCCAAAACCAACUAGGGGUGGCACUAGAUGCACUUACAACUUCCACCAAGAGAAAUUUGAUUCCCCCACUAAUCCCUUGCGGAUCUUGUUACUCUUGGGUGUUUGAGCACCCUAGACGGUUGAGGUCACCGUGGAGCCAUAGUCCUUUGUGGUGAAGCUUUGUGGUGUCGUUGGGAGCCUCCAAUUGAGUUGUGGAGAUUGCCCCAACCUUGUUUGUAAAGGUUCGGUCGCCGCCUCCAAGGGCGCCAAUAGUGGAAUCACGGCAUAUCGCAUUGUGUGAGGGCGUGAGGAGAUGCGGUGGCCCUAGUGGCUUCUUGGGGAGCAUUGUGCCUCCACACCGCUCCAAUGGAGACGUACUUCCCCCCAAAGGGAAGGAACUUCGGUAACACAUCCUCGUCUCCACCGGCUCCACUCUUGGUUAUCUCGUGCCUUUACUUGAGCAAGCUUAUUUGUGAUAUAUCUCUUGCUUGCUUGUGUUCCUAUCUUUGUUGCAUCAUAUAGGUUGCUCACCUAGUUGCAUAUCUAGACAACCUACUUUGAUGCAAAGUUUAAAUUGUUAAAGAAAAGCUAAAAAUUGUUAGUUGCCUAUUCACCCCCCCCUCUAGUCAGCCAUAUCGAUCCUUUCACUUAUGGUGAAAGCCCCUCCCGUGCCAUCCUCCUUGACGGGCACCCUCUUGGUCGCUGGUGGUGCAGCUCUGGAUUUCUUGCUCUUGCCGGUAGAUCUCUCGAGCAUAUCCUCGGUGGUAGCACAACACUCCGAAUAGGUGCGCUUGCCGGAGUGGGUGCGAGAGGUCUUGCCGGUCUUCUUUUUCCCUCCCGGGGCCUCAACGGCAGGAGUAAGUGCCUUGGCGGCGGCUGCUGCAACUGCUUCUCAAUAGAGUUGGUCAGCACAGAUCAACGCAUCCUUCUUGUCGGAGGGGACGGUGAUGAUGGUCAUCGGCCCAGGCAUCUUCAACAUAUUGUAGGCAUAGUGCGACGCCGCCAUGAACUUGGCUAGUGCCGGGCGGCCGAGGAUCCCGUUGUAGGGCAAGGGGAUCUCGGCCACAUCAAAGACAAUCGAUCCUCUCCGUCUUGUAGUUCAACUCACCUCCAAACGUCACGGGCAAUGUGACCUUCCCCUUCAGCUGGCUCCUCCCCGGAAUGACCCCUUGAAACGUACCCGUUUCCUCAAGGUCUCCAUCAGGAAUUUGCAGCCUUUUGAUACGUCUCCAACGUAUCUAUAAUUUUUGAUUGUUCCAUGCUAUAUUAUAUCAUGUUUUGGACAUUAUUGGGCUUUAUUAUAAACUUUUAUAUUAUUUUUGGGACUAACCUAUUAACCGAAGGCCCAGCCCAGAAUUGUUGUUUUUGCCUAUUUCAGAGUUUCGCAGAAAAAGAAUAUCAAACGGGGUCCAAACGGAAUGAAACCUUCGGGAACGUGAUUUUCGGAACAAACGUGAUCUAGAGGACUUGGACCCUACGUCAAGACAUCAACCAGGAAGGCACGAGGUAGGGGGCGCGCCUACCCCCCCCCCCCAGGCGCGCCCUCCACCCUCGUGGGGCCCACGUUGCUCCACCGAUGUACUUCUUAAUCCUAUAUAUACCUACGUACCCCCAAACUACCAGAUACAGAGCCAAAACCCUAAUUCCACCGCCAUACUUUCUGUAUCCACGAGAUCCCAUCUUGGGGCCUUUUCCGGAGCUCCGCCGGAGUGGGUAUCGAUCACGGAGGGCUUCUACAUCAACACCAUAGCCUCUUCGAUGAAGUGUGAGUACUUUACUUCAGACCUUCGGGUCCAUAGUUAUUAUCUAGAUGGCUUCUUCUCUCUUUUUGGAUCUCAAUACAAAGUUCUCCCCCUCUCUUGUGGAGAUCUAUUUGAUGUAAUCUUCUUUUGUGGUGUGUUUAUUGAGACCGAUGAAUUGUGGGUUUAUGAUAAAGUUUAUCUAUGAACAAUAUUUGAAUCUUCUCUGAAUUCUUUUAUGUAUGAUUGGUUAUCUUUGCAAGUCUCUUCAAAUUAUUAGUUUGGUUUGGCCUACUAGAUUGAUCUUUCUUGCAAUGGGAGAAGCACUUAGCUUUGGGUUCAAUCUUGCGGUGUCCUUUCCCAGUGACAGUAGGGGCAGCAAGGCAAGUAUUGUAUUGUUGCCAUCGAGGAUAACAAGAUGGGGUUUAUAUCAUAUUGCGUGAGUUUAUCCCUCUACAUCAUGUCAUCUUGCUUAAAGCGUUACUCUGUUCUCUUGAACUUAAUACUCUAGAUGCAUGCUGGAUAGCGGUCGAUGUGUGGAGUAAUAGUAGUAGAUGCAGGCAGGAGUCGGUCUACUUGUCUCGGACGUGAUGCCUAUAUACAUGAUCAUACCUAGAUAUUCUCAUAACCAUGCUCAAUUCUGUCAAUUGCUCAACAGUAAUUUGUUCACCCACCGUAAUACUUAUGCUCUUGAGAGAAGCCACUAGUGAAACCUAUGCCCCCGGGACUAUUGUCCAUCAUAUUAAUCUUCCAAUACUUAUUUAUUUCCUUUGCCAUUUAUUUUACUUGCAUCUUUAUUUCUCUUUAUCAUAAAAAUACCAAAAAUAUUAUCUUAUCAUAUCUAUCAGAUCUCACUUUCGUAAGUGACCGUGAAGGGAUUGACAACCCCUUUAUCUCGUUGGUUGCGAGGAGUUUAUUUGUUUGUGUAGGUGCGAGGGACUCGUGCGUGGCCUCCUACUGGAUUGAUACCUUGGUUCUCAAAAACUAAGGGAAAUACUUAUGCUGCUCUACUGCAUCACCCUUUCCUCUUCAAGGGAAAACCAACACAGUGCUCAAGAGGUAGCAAGAAGGAUUUCUAGUGCCGUUGCCGGGGAGUCUAUGCAAAAGUCAACAUACCAAGUACCCAUCACAAACCCUUAUCUCCCGCAUUACAUUAUUUGCCAUUUGCCUCUCGUUUUCCUCUCCCCCCACUUCACCCUUGCCGUUUUAUUCGCCCUCUCUCUAUCCGUCCUCCUUCUCUUUCUCUAUUUGCCUCUUUUUGCCCGUCUCUUGUUUGCUUGUGUGUUUGAUUGCUUGCUUGUCAAGAUGGCUCAAGAUAAUACCAAAUUGUGUGACUUUACUAAUACCAACAAUAAUGAUUUUAUUAGCACUCCAAUUGCUCCUCUUAUCGAUGCUGAAUCUUGUGAAAUUAAUGCUGCUUUGCUAAAUCUUGUCACGAAAGAUCCAUUUUCCGGCCUUCCUAGUGAAGAUGCCGCUACCAUCUAAACAACUUUGUUGAUUUGUGUGAUAUGCAAAAGAAGAAAGGUGUGGACAAUGAUAUUGUUAAAUUGAAACUAUUUCUUUUUUCGCUUAGAGAUCGUGCUAAAGCUUGGUUUUCGUCUUUGCCUAAAAAUAGUAUUGAUUCCUAGAAUAAGUGCAAAGAUGCUUUUAUCUCUAAGUAUUUUCCUCCCGCUAAGAUCAUCUCUCUUAGAAACGAUAUUAUGAAUUUUAAGCAACUUGAUCAUGAACAUGUUGCACAAGCUUGGGAUAGGAUGAAAUUAAUGAUACGUAAUUGCCCUACACAUGGUUUGAAUUUAUGGAUGAUUAUACAAAUUUUUUAUGCCGAAUUGAAUUUUGCUUCUAGAAACCUUUUAGAUUCGGCCGCGGGAGGCACUUUUAUGGAAAUCACUUUAGGAGAAGGUACUAAACUCCUAGAUAAUAUUAUGGUUAAUUAUUCUCAAUGGCACACCAAAAGAUCUACUAAUAAGAAAGUGCAUGCGAUAGAAGAAAUUAAUGUUUUGAGUGGAAAGAUGGAUGAACUUAUGAAAUUAUUUGCUAAUAAAAGUGUUUCUUAUGAUCCUAAUGAUAUGCCUUUGUCUAUUUUUAUUGAGAAUAAUAAUGAAUCUUUGGAUGCAAAUUUUGUUGGUAGGAAUAAUUUUGGUAACAACGCGUAUAGAGGAAACUUUAAUCCUAGGUCGUAUCCUAGUAAUUCCUCUAAUAAUUAUGGUAACUCCUACAACAAUUCUUAUGGAAUUUUUAAUAAGAUGCCCUCUGAUUUUGAAUCUAAUAUUAAAGAAUUUAUUACUUUGCAAAAGAAUUUCAAUGCUUUGAUUGAAGAAAAAUUGCUUAAGAUUGAUGAGUUGGCCAGGAACGUUGAUAGAAUUUCUCUUGAUGUUGAUUCUUUGAAACUUAGAUCUAUUCCACCUAAGCAUGAUAUCAAUGAGUCUCUCAAAGCCAUGAGAAUUUCCAUUGAUGAGUGCAAAGAAAGAACCACUAGGAUGUGUGCUAAGAAAGAUUCUUUAUAAAAGCGUGUUCUUCUAGUUUCCAUGAUAAUAAAGAUGAAGAUCUAAAAGUUAUUGAUGUGUACCCUAUUAAAUAUUUGUUUUGUAAUAUGAAUCUUGAUAAUGAUGGGACUGAAUAUGAUCCACCUUUACCUAGAAGGCGUUCCAAAAACUUGGAGUCUUUAGAUCUUGAUGCUAAAAUUGUUAAAAGUGGGAUUGAAGAAGUCAAAACUUUAAAUAUCGAUGAAUCCACUAUUUUGGAUUUAAGAAAUUUAAUUAUGAUAAUUGCUCUUUGAUAGAUUGUAUUUCCUUGUUGCAACCCGUGCUAAAUUCUCCUCAUGCUUAUAGUCAAAAUAAAGCCUUUACCAAACAUAUCAUUGAUGCUUUAAUGCAAUCUUAUGAAGAAAAACUUGAUUUGGAAGUUUCUAUCCCUAGAAAACUUUAUGAUGAGUGGUAACCUACUAUUAAAAUUAAAAUUAAAGAUCAUGAAUGCUAUGCUUUGUGUGAUUUGGGUGCUAGUGUUUCCACGAUUCCUAAUACUUUGUGUGAUUUGCUAGGUUUUCGUGAUUUUGAUGAUUGCCCUUUAAACUUGCACCUUGCGGAUUCCACUAUAAAGAAACCUAUGGGAAGAAUUAAUGAUGUUUUUAUUGUUGCAAAUAGGAAUUAUGUGCCUGUAGAUUUUAUUGUUCUUGACAUAGAUUGCAAUCCUUCAUGUCCUAUUAUUCUUGGUAGACCUUUCCUUAGAACGAUUGGUGCAAUUAUCGAUAUGAAGUAAGGGAAUAUUAGAUUCCAAUUUCCGUUAAGGAAAGGCAUGGAACACUUCCCUAGAAAGAAAAUUAAAUUAUCAUAUGAAUCUAUUAUGAGAGCCACUUAUGGAUUGCCUACCAAAGAUGGCAAUACCUAGAUAUAUCUUUGCUUUUAUGUCUAGCUAGGGGCGUUAAAAGAAUGCGCUUGUUUGGAGGCAACCCAAUUUUUUUAUUCCUUGGUUUUUGCUCCUGUUUAGUAUUAAAUAAUUUAUCUAGCCUAUGUUUUGGUUGUGUUUUUUGUGUUUAGUUAGUGUUUGUGCCAAGUAGAACCGUUGGGAAGACUUGGGGAAAGUCUUUUUAAUCUUGCUAUAAAAAACAGAAACUUUAGCGCUCACGAGAAUUGCUGUCAUUUUUAUUUGGAAAGUGCUAUUUAGUUAAUUAUUUUUAAGAUGAUUAAUAGAUAAAUUCCUCACGUCCAUAAAUUUAUUUUAGAAUUUGUGGGGUUCCAGAUCUUGCGUUAGCUACAGAUUACUACAGACUGUUCUGUUUUUGACAGAUUCUGUUUUUCAUGUGUUGUUUGCUUAUUUUGAUGAAUCUAUGGCUAGUAAAAUAGUUUAUAAACCAUAGAGAAGUUGUAAUACAGUAGGUUUAACACCAAUAUAAAUAAAGAAUGAGUUCAUUACAAUACCUUGAAGUGGUGUUUUGUUUUCUUUCGCUAACGGAGCUCACGAGAUUUUCUACUUUAAGUUUUGUGUUGUGAAGUUUUCAAGUUUUGGGUAAAAGAUUUGAUGGAUUAUGGAACAAGGAGUGACAAGAGCCUAAGCUUGGGGAUUCCCAUGGCACUCCCAAGAUAAUCUAAGGACACCUAAAAGCCAAAGCUUGGGGAUGCCCCGGAAGGCAUCCCCUCUUUCGUCUACUUCCAUCGGUAACUUUACUUGGAGCUGUAUUUUUAUUUACCACAUGAUAUGUGUUUUGCUUGGAGCAUCUUGUAUUAUUUGAGUCUUUAUUUGUUAUUUUUCCACAAUCAUCCUUGCUGUACACACCUUUUGAUAGAGACACAUGAUUCGGAAAUUGUUAGAAUACUCUAUGUGCUUCACUUAUAUCUUUUGAGUUAUAUAGUUUUUGCUCUAGUGCUUCACUUAUAUAUUUUAGAGCACGUUGGUGGAUUUGUUUUAUAGAAACCAUUGUUCUCUCAUGCUUCACUUAGAUUAUUUCUAGAGUCCUACAAAACAGCGUGGUAAUUUGCUUUAAUUAUGUUAGGCAUUCAAGAUUAAUAAAAAAAUUCUUAUGAGUGUGUUGAAUACUAUGAGAAGUUUGAUACUUGAUAAUUGUUUUGAGAUAUGGAGAUGGUGAUAUUAGAGUCAUGCUAGUUGAGUAGUUGUGAAUUUCAGAAAUACUUGUGUUAAAUUUUGUGAUUCCCGAAGCAUGCAGGUAUGGUGAACCGUUAUGUGAUGAAGUCAGAGCAUGAUUUAUUUAUUAAUUGUCUUCCUUAUGAGUGGCGGUCGGGGACGAGCGAUGGUCUUUUCCUACCAAUCUAUCCCCCUAGGAGCAUGCGCGUAAUACUUUGCUUUGAUAACUUGUAGAUUUUUGCAAUAAGGAUAUGAGUUCUUUAUGACUAAUGUUGAGUCCAUGGAUCAUAUGCACUCUCACCCUUCCACCAUUGCUAGACUCUCUAAAUAUCGCGCACCUUUCGCCGGUAUCAUACACCCACCAUAUACCUUCCUCAAAACAGCCACCAUACCUACCUAUCAUGGCAUUUCCAUAGCCAUUCCGAGAUAUAUUGCCAUGCAACUUUCCACUGUUCCGUUUACUAUGACACGCUCCAUCAUUGUCGUAUUGCUUUCCGUGAUCAUGUAGUUGACAUUGUAUUCGUGGCAAAGCCACCAUUCAUAAUUCUUUCAUACAUGUCACUCUUGAUUCAUUGCAUAUCCCGGUACACCACCGGAGGCAUUCACAUAGAGCCAUAUUUUGUUCUAAGUAUUGAGUUGUAAGUAAAUAAAAGUGUGAUGAUCAUCAUUUUUAGAGCAUUGUCCCAAGUGAGGAAAGGAUGAUGAAGACCAUGAUUCCCCCACAAGUCGGGAUGAGACUCCGGACUAAAUAAAAAAAGAGAAAAGGCCCAAAUAAAAAAAUAUAUGAGAGAAAAAGAGAGAAGGGACAAUGCUACUAUCCUUUUACCACACUUGUGCUUCAAAGUAGCACCAUGAUCUUCAUGAUAGAGAGUCUCCUAUCUUAUCACUUUCAUAUACUAGUGGGAAUUUUUCAUUAUAGAACUUGGCUUGCAUAUUCCAAUGAUGGGCUUCCUUAAAAUGCCCUAGGUCUUCGUGAGCAAGCGAGUUGGAUGCACACCCACUUAAUUCUUUUUGUUGAGCUUUCAUAUACUUAUAGCUCUAGUGCAUCCAUUGCAUGGCAAUCCCUACUCACUCUCAUUGAUAUCUAUUAAUGGCCAUCUCCAUAGCCCGUUGAUACGCCUAGUUGAUGUGAGACUAUCUUUCCCCUUUUUUUUCUUCUCCACAACCACCAUUCUAUUCCACCUAUAGUGCUAUGUCCAUGGCUCAUGCUCAUGUAUUGCGUGAAGAUUGAAAAAGUUUGAGAACACCAAAAGUAUGAAACAAUUGCUUGGCUUGUCAUCAGGGUUGUGCAUGAUUUAAAUACUUUGUGUGGUGAAGAUGGAGCAUAGCCAGACUAUAUGAUUUUGUAGGGAUAACUUUCUUUGGCCAUGUUAUUUUGAAGAGACAUAAUUUCUUAGUUAGUUUGCUUGAAUAUUAUUAUUUUUAUGUCAAUAUUGAACUUUUGUCUUGAAUCCUUCGGAUCUGAAUAUUCAUACCACAAUUAAGAAGAAUUACAUUGAAAUUAUGCCAAGUAGCAUUCCACAUCAAAAAUUCUGUUUUUAUCAUUUACCUACUCGAGGACGAGCAGGAAUUAAGCUUGGGGAUGCUUGAUACGCCUGCACGUAUCUAUAAUUUUUUUAUUGUUCCAUGCUAUAUUAUAUCCUGGCUUGGACAUUAUUGGGCUUUAUUAUACACUUUUAUAUUAUUUUUGGGACUAACCUAUUAACCGAAGGCCCAGCCCAGAAUUGCUAUUUUUUUGCCUAUUCUAGAGUUUCGCAGAAAAAGAAUAUCAAACGGAGUCCAAAUAGAAUGAAACCUUCGGGAACAUGAUUUUCGGAACAAACGUGAUCUAGAGGACUUGGACCCUAUGUCAAGACAUAAACCAGGAAGGCACGAGGUAGGGGGCGCGUCUACCACCCCAGGCGCGCCCUCCACACUCGUGGGGCCCAUGUUGCUCCACCGACGUACUUCUUCCUCCUAUAUAUACCUAAGUACCCCCAAACUACCAGAUACGGAGCCAAAAUCUUAAUUCCACCGCCGUAACUUUCUGUAUCCACGAGAUCCCAUCGUGGGGCCUUUUCUGGAGCUCCGCCGGAGGGGUUAUCAGUCACGGAGGGCUUCUACAUCAACACCAUAGCCUCUCCGAUGAAGUGUGAGUAGUUUACUUCAGACCUUCGGGUCCAUAGUUAUUAUCUAGAUGGCUUCUUCUCUCUUUUUGGAUCUCAAUACAAAGUUCUCCCCCUCUCUUUUGGAGAUCUAUUCAAUGUAAUCUUCUUUUGCGGUGUGUUUGUUGAGACCGAUGAAUUGUGGGUUUAUGAUCAAGUUUAUCUAUGAACAAUAUUUGAAUCUUCUCUGAAUUCUUUUAUGUAUGAUUCGUUAUCUUUGCAAGUCUCUUCGAAUUAUCAGUUUGGUUUGGCCUACUAGAUUGAUCUUUCUUGCAAUGGGAGAAGUGCUUAGCUUUGGGUUCAAUCUUGCGGUGUCCUUUCCCAGUGACAAUAGGGGCAGUAAGGCACGUAUUGUAUUGUUGCCAUCGAGGAUAAGAAGAUGGGGUUUAUAUCAUAUUGCAUGACUUUAUCCCUCUACAUCAUGUCAUCUUGCUUAAAGCAUUACUCUGUUCUCUUGAACUUAAUACUCUAGAUGCAUGCUGGAUAGCGGUCAAUGUGUGGAGUAAUAGUAGUAGAUGCAGGCAGGAGUCGGUCUACUUGUCUCGGACGUGAUGCCUAUAUACAUGAUCAUACCUAGAUAUUCUCAUAACUAUGCUCAAUUCUAUCAAUUGCUCAACAGUAAUUUGUUCACCCACCGUAAUACUUAUGCUCUCGAGAGAAGCCACUAGUGAAACCUAUGGCCCCCGGGUCUAUUCUCCAUCAUAUUAAUCUUCCAAUUCUUAGUUAUUUCCUUUGCCAUUUAUUUUACUUGCAUCUUUAUUUCUCUUUAUCAUAAAAAUACCAAAAAUAUUAUCUUAUCAUAUCUAUCAAAUCUCACUUUCGUAAGUGACCGUGGAGGGAUUGACAACCCCUUUAUCGUGUUGGUUGCGAGGAGUUUAUUUGUUUGUGUAGGUGCGAGGGACUCGUGCGUGGCCUCCUACUGGAUUGAUACCUUGGUUCUCAAAAACUACGGGAAAUACUUACGCUGCUCUGCUUCAUCACCCUUUCCUCUUCAAGGGAAAACCAACGCAGUGCUCAAGAGGUAGCAACUUUUGA
This 76119-nucleotide long non-coding RNA is filed under the name Triticum aestivum (bread wheat). RNAcentral describes it as "long non-coding RNA (TAES_LNC025783)". Lineage: Eukaryota; Viridiplantae; Streptophyta; Magnoliopsida; Poales; Poaceae. The record is from RNAcentral.